Molecule: long non-coding RNA, 54306 nt
Filed under: Eucalyptus grandis
Lineage: Eukaryota; Viridiplantae; Streptophyta; Magnoliopsida; Myrtales; Myrtaceae
Description: long non-coding RNA (EGRA_LNC003742)
Source: RNAcentral
GAUUGGACUCAGGGAUGUGCGCCCAGAUUCGAGAGCUUCUGCAACAAGGGUGCUCAUGCUCAUGUUGAUUUCCUGCGUUUGCCUCACCAUGAUUUCUAUGGAUAUGACCGGGCCUAUUUUCGAAACACCACCCUGGCGUGGUGCAAGAAAAAAUGCGCAGAUCUUUGCGAUUGUAAAGGCUUUCAAUACAAAUUCAACGGGAACAGAGGGAGCUUCGACUGUUACCCCAAGAUACGGCUGCUAAAUGGAUAUUUUUCAUUCUCGUUUAAUGGAAGCAUCUAUUUAAAACUACCGAAAGCCAAUCUCUCUUCCUAUCAAAGACCCACCAAAGGAUCCAACUCACUGUCCUGUCCCCCAAAAGUUCAAGAAGUUUUCCUGCAGAGGACUUAUCUGAAAAGCCACAUGAAUUCAACACUCAACAUCUUGUUCACUGUUGCUAUGGUGCUAGCUGGAGUGGAAAUUGUUGUAGUCUUCCUCACAUGGUCCUUCUUGAUCGGGACUGAUCUUGACAAACUCGGAGGUUAUGCGAAGGGAUAUCAUCUUGCGGGAACAGGAUUCACAAGGUUCACGUAUGCCGAGCUAAAGAAAGCGACCAAGAACUUUAGCAAAGAGAUUGGAAGAGGAAGUGGGGGGAUUGUGUACAAGGGUGUCUUGCCAGAUCAUGGGGAAGCAGCGGUGAAGCUGCUAAACAAGGCCAAUCAAGGAGAAGACGAGUUCCUGGCCGAAGUGAGAACAAUUGGGAAUCUCAAUCACAUAAACCUGAUUACGAUGUGGGGCUACUGCGUGGAGGGAAGGCACAGGCUCUUGGUUUAUGAGUUCAUGAAUCACGGCUCCUUAGCAGAAAACCUUUCUUCCGAUCAACUUGACUGGAAGAAAAGGUAUGACAUUGCGGUGGGAUCAGCCAAGGGGCUUGCUUAUCUUCACGAGGAGUGCUUGGAAUGGGUUCUCCAUUGCGAUGUGAAGCCACAUAACAUACUCCUCAAUUUUGACUACCAACCAAAGGUGGCCGAUUUUGGGUUCUCUAAGCUACUUAACAGGGACAGCUUUAAGAAUACAAGUUUCUCAAGAAUCAGAGGAACAAGGGGUUACAUGGCUCCUGAAUGGGUUUACAAUAUGCCCAUCACGUUCAAAGUGGAUGUGUAUAGCUAUGGAAUCGUUCUGCUUGAGAUGCUGACAGGAGGGAACCUGGUUGCCAGUCAUGCCAUCGAUGGACAAGUAAAAGGCGGGAACAAAAGAUUGACUACCUGGGUGAGAGAGAAGAUGAAACCAGGAGUGGCCAUGGAGACAUGGAUAAGGGAAAUUAUGGAUCCGACCGUAAAAGGACCUUACGACAUCAAGAAGAUGGAAGUUUUGGUUACAGUGGCACUUCAGUGUGUCGAGGAGGACAAAGAUGCGAGACCCACCAUGAGCCAAGUGGUUGAGAUGCUUCUACGCCAUGAAAGUGAAAAUCUGUAAUCAGAUAUCAGCAUAACUGCUUGUGUUCUAGCUCUAAAUAAGUGGACAAUUACAAAGGUAAUAAUCUUUGGAUGUACAAACCUAGGAAAGAUAAUUUAGUAAAUGUCUAGGAACAAGUCCUUGUUUAUCUCUAUUUUAUCAUCUUGGAAAUCUAGGAAAGAUCAUUUAGUAUGAUAGUUCCCGGUAAGAGAGAUCAUCCAACAAUGAGGACACAAUAGAUCUCUUAUUACUGUUUGUCUUUGGUGCUUCAAAUCCUUUAAAUCGGUAAACAUAGAGGUGCCUUAAGCCCACUAGAUGGUACACUUCUUCUUAAUAACAAAUUAUUGACUAGAUAAAAUAGUUACAAUUUGUAAUUUCUAUUGACAUCCAAAUUUUUGUCGAUGUUUUAAAUAUUCAUUUAUUUUGCAAAAAUAAAAAAAAUCAUAAAAAGGUAAAAGACAAAAAAAAAAAAUUGAAAAAAUAUGACUGAAAUGAAAUGAAAAGUCGGGUACAGUAGGCCGGCGUGUUCAGCCCAUCCUUCCAAUGAAUUUUCGGCCCUUUCAAAAGUUAAACCCAGCUUUCCAUUCAUUUCAUCCUUCCGACCGACUUUUUCCACCUUCGUUGAGCCCAUCUCUUUUAAUGUUUUCAUGGCCCAUAAAAGUUUAAAAUAACAAGGAAAGACAAGAGCCCAGUCCAAAGUCAUUUCUUUCUCUUUGCUUACAUGAGCCAAAGCACGUGAAGAGGAAAAGAAAAACAGGCGCGGGUGAGGAGAGGACGGCGACGAGCAAAGCGUGAAUGCGUGCCCGUGAGCGAGGGAGGAACAACAAGCUGUGAUGCAAGCAAAUCCAAGCCUUCUAGAAGGCUGAGCUGGCGGGAGGGAUGAGGAGGCCUAACCGAAAAAGAUUCGGGGAGAGGCGGGGGGAGCGUGCGUGAGCGGGCGAGGAGGCUUCCCCAAAAAGAAGAAGACCAGGUUGCAGAGAGGGAGGAGGGGGCAGAAGUUUUUCUUUGGCUAAGGAAGAGAGGAUCGUUCGGCAGGAGGGGGCAUUAUUCGGCCAUUAGAGAAAGAAAAAGAGCGGGGGCUUUUCUUUUUCUGGAAGGGCCGCUCUCUGUGCGGCCACCACGAAGAACGUUCUCUCGGGUCCAGUCCAUGAUCGUCCUCAUGAGCGACGUUUCCCAAACUCUCCUCGCACCAGCCGGCCAUUUUCUCGAGCUUCGCCAAUGAACAAGCAGUAGUUGCAAUGCCACUUCUGAUCAGGUAAGCAUCUCGCUCCCCCCAGACAUCCUGUUUUUUCUUCAUGCUGUUCAGAAAUUAAGAACAAAAAUUUCAAUCUGUGAGGUCAUGGUCUAAUCUUGUGAAACCGAGAUAUAUUUGUGAGGGACGAUGUUAUUUGGAGUCUAUUAUGUCAAUUUUAGACCGAAAAUCAUAUCAAAAUGGGAUCGGAGGCUUGUUCUUGUACUGCACGUCAUCUAUUUAAUAAAAUGCCUAAAUGAUAUGUCGGCCAUCGAAAUGAUAUCCUACGAUCAACAUAGCUAGAAAAUUGAACAUAUUUGAGAAGAAGACGAAGAUUUGCAUACCUAAUUUGGAAUCCACUGUUUUUUAUGUGGAAUAAUGACGAUUCGACGCUCAGGUUCUUCUCCUCUAUAGCCCUUGGAUCCUAGCUUGAUCAAACCGCCUCUCAUGUUUUCUUAUGUAAGGUGAUAGUGUGUUCAUGGAAGUAUGAGGGUUAAAGGAGAGAUCUUAACACUAUUUAUAGAGUUUUCAGCUGGGCUUUCUCAUCACGAGCCGAGCACAUAAAAUAGGCACAUAUUCGACUAUUAAGAAAUCUUAUACCUUAUCUUAUUAGGCCAACCCCAUAAAACGGCAAAUUACAAUCUCAAUUAAUGUAGCCUACAUCAGGAAAACUCUUACAUUCUCCCACUUGAGCUAUAUUAAUCGAGACUAUACUGUAUGUAUGCACAUUUAUAUUAAUCUAGAGACAAUUCUUAAUAGUCAAUCAUAUCUCAUAAAGUCUCAAAUAUUGUCGCGACCUACCUUUGAGGGGAGGGAGUAGGUUUAUAGAUAUUGCCUAAAAGAUGGACCUAAUGCCCAUAAUUAAUCGCAGGCUCUCCAAAGCUCAUACCUUGCUUGAUAUUGGGGAAUUUUUUAAGAAUUCGCAAAAAUGAGUCACCACUAACCUAUUGAGGUCGGCUAGAAACCAAGUGAGGUAUGUGAGUGUACCUCAUUCCUACACAACCAGAGAAUUUAGGGUUGGAGACUUGAUUAUACUAAUUGACUAAUUAGUGUUUUUUUGAUACCUAAUCUUGUUCAUUUAAAAAGAAAAGAUUUUUAUUAGGUAGUUUGAAUUGAUUUUAUACCUAUCCACUAGCAUGUAAGGUGAUCAUGCGGAUGUGCAAGCAUUAAGAUACUAAUCAUAACUACCUAGAUCUUGUUUGCAGUAAAAUUAAAUAUGUGCAAUUAAACAUAAUUAAAUAUGCAAAUCGAACACACGAGAUAAUUAAUAUAUGAGUAAAUAAAGGCCUAAUUACACUAAGAAGGGAAGACAUAGCAAUUCCUAACCAAACCCUACAUUUUUUAACUUUCGAUUUUUCAAAAAUAUAUAUAUUUUUAUUUUUUUAUUUUAAAAAUAUUAUUUUAAUAUUAUAAAAUUAUAAUAUAUUAAAAACGACCCAAGUCGGAUCCCCAAGUGAGGAUUGACCCGGUUCGUUGGAAAGACGACUUGAGCCCGGAUCAGAUUGGGCUAGACAGCCUGAGUCUGAACUGUGCUGGGCCACGCAACCUAGGCCGCCAGAAACCUAGCCAGGCUGGGCUUGAAGUGCAGGCCCAGUCUGAUCUAAUCUUUAAUCUUAAAAAAAAAAAAAAAAGCCCAUAAGCCCACGUGUUGAACCAGCCCAAACCCAACCUUGAAAUACCCGCCCGAAUUUACUCAAAACCCUACCUAGUUCGCGACUCGGCCCGGCUUUUUUGACCCAGUUCGUGCCUCCUCUCUCUCCUGCUCUUUCGCAGCACCAAAGGAAGAUGGUCGGGACACCGUCAAGCGGUGACUUAGCGACGGUGGGGACGCGGCGGGUGACGACAAGGGCACCGAGGGGCGACGACGACGUCUGGGUCUACAAGGAUGAGCAACAACAAUGUGAUGUCGGUGUGAUCAGUGGCGGCACAACUUGAGGGAGCGACACGGGCGACAUAGCGAUAGCGUCAAACCCAAGUGUUGCAACAAUUGGGGUCAAACAACAGCGGCUCGAACGACGUCGAGCCCAGGCGUUACAGUAGUCGAGGUCGGAGGGUGGCGGCUCGGAUGGCAUCGAGGUCAAAGGGCGACGGCUGGGAUGGCGUCAAGUAGCGGCGACGACGCCUCCUUCUUCCUCGGAUCCUGCCCCCCUUUCCUUUUGGCUUCCCCUCUGCUCUCUUGGCUUCUUUCCUCUACUCUACGCCUGCUCCGCUCUCGUGGAUCAGCAACGUGGCGUUACUGCUUCAAGUUGUAAGGGAUGGGUAGGUUAUAGGAGUAGCGAUGGCGCGACGAGGAGGCUNNNNNNNNNNNNNNNNNNNNNNNNNNNNNNNNNNNNNNNNNNNNNNNNNNNNNNNNNNNNNNNNNNNNNNNNNNNNNNNNNNNNNNNNNNNNNNNNNNNNACCCCCCCCCCCCCCCCCCCCCCCGGGAAGGUCGAGGGCGGCAAGCCUUGUUGCCCCCCAAAAGAAGACCCCCCCUCUUCUCCUCUUUUUUUCUUUCUCUUUUUCUUCUCUUCUUUUUUCCCCUCUCCCAUGUCCACUCUCACAUCCCUUCUUCCUAUUCUCCUCCUGUUGUGCUGCCUUUUGCUGCAGGUCCUUGAGUGUGAAGAUGCAAACAGGAGGAGGCAAGUUGGGAUGGGCUGGGAUGAAGGGGAGAAGGGCCGAGCCCAUGCGGGGAAGGAAAGAAAAAGGCGGGUCAGGCCAAGGCGGGAUCCGACCUGACUCGACCCUUCCACGUUUUCUCUUCUUUUUUUUUGUAAUUAACUUAUUUUGACAAAUUUUUAAUUUUUUUCUUUAUGAUGAUGAAUUUUUUGGAAAAAAUUAAGAAAAAACCAUUCAAUGUGUAGUGCAAUAAUGAAAACACAAUACCUUUUUAAUGACUUUUUUUACUUUUCUUUCUUUUUUUUUCUUUUUUUUAACAACUAAUUCCCAAUUUUGUAUAUGAUUAAGUCCUAAAUAAGAUGGUAAAAUUUAGGUGUCAAUAAAUAUCGAAUCAUAGCGAUAAUUACAUGUACCCACAUAGAACCUUCCAUGAUCAUAAUUGCUUUCAACUUUACUUAUAUGGAUUCAAUAUAAUUGUGUGGCGAAUGGAUAAUACCUCAUAACAAGUAAGACCUUAUUAGUCAUCCCCUUUGUUGAUCACUAUUUUUUUACCUUAAGUGUCACAAGAAACCGAAUGUGCCACUAGAGAAUAUCUUUAUGAUUCUAAUGAACUCAUAUAUGUCUUAUCUUUAUGAUUAACCUUUCAUUAUAUGUGAUAACCGGAUACCCCCAGCCUUCACUCAAGGCUUACACAAUACCUUAAGAUAUCAUUACAAGUAAUCAACUUAACAUGAUGACAACACAUUCAUGGACACUUUAUUGAAUAUGAAGGAGUCUAUACAUGUUAAAAUGUUAUUGAAUAUAACAAAACAUAGACGCAAGCUUUAUUAGAGUAAAAUCAAAACAACUCCCAUUAAACAGCAUCAUCCAAUGAUGCUUCUUAGCCCAUGUUUAUGACAUAUUACUCAAGUACGAAGGUGUUUAGUUAAUAGAUUUGUAACCAUAUCAUUUGUAGAAAUAUGCUCUACUAUAACGCCACCAUUUUGUAUCUUUUUUUAUGGUCAAAAACUUAACUACCAUAUGUCUAGACCCCCUCGAGACCUUUAUUGUUGUUGAUAAACAACACUGAAGAGUCAUUAUCUCAAUACAACCGUAUGACUCUAUUCACAAAAUCAAAUAUGGUCAACUCCUUAAUGAGGUUCCAAAAUCAAAUAUCCCAAGUAACAGCUGAAACAUAUUCUACAAACUUCGUUUAUACGGUUGAGGAUGAUAUAGAUUUCUAUUUUUCACUUUGUCAUGAUAUUGCACCUUCUGCUAAUAUAAAGAUAUAUUAUGUUGUCGACUUCUUAUCAUCCUAACAGUCAGCAAAGUUUACAUCGGAAUACCCUACAAACUCUAGGUCAUGAACAUGUCUAUAAAUUAGCAUAUAGUCACUUAUCCUUUUAAGUACCUAAAAACUUUCUUGGCAGCAAUCUAGUGAUUGUGUCCUCAAUUUGACUGAUAUUAACCCAAAAGUUUGUUGUAAAACCAAUAUCUAGCCUAAUACAAACUUGAGUAUACGAGAUACUUCCAAGUGUACUAGCACAAGGUACGUCCUUCAUUUAGGUUUUCCUAAAAUUUGAAUGAGGACACUGCGAUAAACUCAUUUAUUACCCUUAAUAACAUGAGUAAUUCUAAACUUGCAAUAUUGCAUACUAAGUCUUUUCAGAAUACGAUCAACAUAUGCAAUUUGAGAUAAAUCUAACAUAUAGCGAGAACAAUCCCUAUAGAUCUCAAUGCUAAGGACAAAAGAUGCCUCAUCAAGAUCUUUUAAGUCAAAAUUCUUUGAUAGCAUUUGCUUUGUCUCAUAUAGUAAUCCAAUACUGCUACUUGCAAGUAAGAUGUCGUCCAUAAAAAGUAUGAGAAAAAUAAAUUUUCCCCCACUGAUCUUGCAGUAUAUGCACCGAUUUACUUUGUUCUCAACAAAACCAAAAGAAAUGAUGACAUUGUGAGACUUCAAGUAAUUCAACAAGUUCCCAAACACUAUAAUGUUUCAUCGCAUCUAACCACUGAUUUGAUUAAGAACAAGAAACAACAUUUAAUUAUGUCACUAGAUCGAUCACAAAGUAGAUAUCGUGAUCAUGCUCUCACAUAUAGACUAUAUAAUCUAGUGGUAUAACUAAGGGCAUGUUUGGCAACGUGCCAAACAGUGCCAGAUUUUGAUUUUUUGUUCCCAGAAUCAGUUUGGGACGAGAAUCGCAUUUGGUAAAAUUUUUGUUCCCGGUAACAAAUUUGUUCCCGGGAACAAUUUUGGACAAGAUUUGAGAAUAAAAAAAAUAAAAUUGAUUCUCCGUCCGAGAAUCAGAAAAAGAAUCAAAACGGUGAAACCCUCGCUCUUCCCUUUCGUCAUCCCGGUUGCCAUCUGUCACCGCCCGCCACUGUCCGCCACCGGUCGCCGGAGGCUCGCCAGGCCAGGGCAAGGUCCGGCGAGCUCACCGGAGGCAAGCCCAGCCACCGGCAAGGCUCGGCCUCGCUGGUGGCCAGGCGGGCCUCGCCCAGCCCCAGCGAGGCCGGCAGCUGGGCGAGGCUCGGCCUCACCAGAUCGGGCGAGGUCAAGCCUCGCCGGUGGCUGGGAGAGCCUCGCCCAACUGCCGGUGAAGCUCGCCUGGCCACCGGCGAGGCUCGCGGGGCUGGGCGAGCCUCGCCUAGUUGCCAGCGAGGCUCAGCCGAUGAAGGCCGACCUCGCCGAGGGCCGGGCAACGCUCCGGUGAGCGUCGCCGGCCCUCGUCUGGCCGGUCGCCGGUCCGGCAACCGGCCAGAUGAAGAAGAAGAAGAAUAGGAAAAAAGGGAAAAGAAGAAAAAAAAGAAAAAAAGGAAAAAAGAAAAGAAAAAAGUAAAAAGUAAAAAAAUUAUUUAAAAUUUAUUUAAAAAUUAAAAUAAAUUAAUUUGGAACAUAAUCAAUUAACACGGUAUCAAAUGCAAUUCUAUUCCAGAAUAAAAAAAUUUGGACAGUUACCAAACGCGCUUUUUUACUCAGAAUCAGUUCUCGGAAACAGAAUAAAAAAUAAUCAUUUCUAGUUAGAAUCAGCUCCCGGGAACAGAAUCGUUACCAAACGCGCCCUAAUUGUCUCUCCCUAAUUCUCCUGAGUGGAGCUACAAUCAUUUCAUCCUGUACUUGAAGAGCUUGAAAAACUUCAUCAUGAAUUGUAUCAAUAACAAUAUCCUAAACCUUAACAGGUUUAGCAUGUGGUGUAAGAGACUCCACAAUCGUCUGUACAGGCAAAGACAAAGACAUAAUGGUCUCUAUCUUUAAUAGCCUGAGAGUAGUUAUCCUCUACGACUACGUUGAACUCUAAAAACUUGAUGUCUGUGAUUUCACAAUUCUUGCACCUCAUCUGAACCAUCAUACCUUAUGUUGAAGAAUCCUAAUAUUUAUCUUAAUCUCGGCAUUAAAUAAGACACAAUUUCAUACCAUCAACGCUUCCAUCAUCCUUUUAGCCGUGCAAUUAGCUAGUAAACCAUUUUCAAAUGUUCCUAUAGAACACUUCAUGGAUAACGAACAUAUUUAAUUGCUCAUUUUUCCAAGCAACAAAAUGUAAUUUCUAGUUCCACAUCACCGACAGUAAAAUUGCCAACUUAUUCUCAGUAAGAGCAAUAUGAACAUCAACUAACUUCAUCAUAAACAGAAAAUCAUCCUUCACUAUUUAAAGUUUGACCCAGCAAGAACCUUAAUCACAAUGGAGUUGUCAUUUACAAAGGAGAUGACUUAAUAACAAACAAUAUGUAUAAUCGACAUCAUGUGAGUAUUGUGUAACUUUAGAACUGUAUAAGUACACAUCCUGAGAGCUAUAUACAUCAUCAUAUAAACACAUUUAGAUAGAAUACAUGAUAUGCAAUUGCAUACUCUCUACAUAAUAGCGAUCAUGAGAUUGCGAAUUCACCACCUUUGGAUGUAUGAACCAUUAAAGUCAGUUACUCAUCAACCACAUGCUGUACAUGGAUCCCUUUAUGAACUAAUAUACAAUCACCUCAUUUCGGAGUAUGACUACAUGUUAGAACAUGAGACAUCCCAUCACAAUAUAAGACCGGUAUUUCUCAUCAAGCGUGCCACUUUGGCAGUCACAACCCAAUUGAAUCAUUGAAACUCUCUUAUACUAAGGAUAUAAACUUUAAGUCUCACAUUUACUUUAUACAUGUGAUUUUAGACUUGAUAACAGGGGCAAUUUGUCACUAAAAUUACAUGUCAUGCCAAUUAUAUUACUCCAUUUAUUGAUGCAUGUUGAACCUUAUACAUAUUAUUAAUGAAUCAAUGCUCUAUGCAUUCAUUAUGUCAUGAUACACAUAUAAGCUCGCAACGAAUUUUCAAAACCAUAGAGAAAAGCAUGAAAAAUACCCCCAAAAUCCAUUAUUUAGGGUUUCACAUGCAUUUCAUAUCCUUAAAAAUAUCAACAUGUAAAAAAAAAAACAAAAAAUACAUUAUAGUAUAGAGAAAUUCCAUAUGAGCACGCUAGUGUCAAUCACGCGUCGAACGAAGGUCCCACACGCCCUUGCGGGCCGCCGAAGUACGCGACGCAUGAACUGCACGCGCUAGCAUGCUUGAACCAAUCCGGCUACUGGUUCGACCGGGUUUGAUCGGUCCAACCAGUCAACGGUCCAAUUGCGUCAGGUCACCCAGUCAACCUGUGUCGGGUCAAUUGUCAAACCGGAUUGAGUCAGCCCAAUAAAACUUGGUUGAGUCAUCCCGACCGAGAGAAUGACGUCAGCUCCGACGAGGCAGUGGCCAAGUUAACAGACAUCACCUACUGCCUUAGGCGGUUAUGAGCUCGUGCGUACAAGCGUGUGAGCACGCUCAAUGGCACGUGGCGCCACUCUCUAGAGUUGUCGUGAUGCGUGCAAGCGCAUGGUGGCGCGUCCAACUUCUUCUAGAGGUGUGCGACCCAUCACUGCUACCAAAUAUUGGCCGUCAAAAUGGCAUCUCAAGAUCAACAAAGCUAGAAACUUGAACAUAUUGGAGGAGAAGACAGAGAUUUGCACACCUGAUUUGGAAUCCAUCAUUCUUUAUGUAGAGCAGCGACGAUUUCAACACUCAUGUUCUUCUCCUGUUAUAGCUCUUGAAUCUUGGCUAAACGAGACCGCCCCUCACAGCUUUCUUAUGUGACAUGAUAGUAUGAGGGUUAGAGGAUGGACCUUAAUGCUAUUUAUAGAGUUUUCAGCCAGACCCUCUCAUUACGGGUCGGGUCCAACUCAGUCUACAUAAACCAGGCCCAUAUUCAACUAUUAAGAAACCUUAUGCCUUACCUUGUUAGACUAAUCCCGUAAACCGGUAAAUCACAAUCUCAAUUGAUACAAUCGACAUCAGGAAAACUCUUACAUGAUAUACUGAAAAUCCAUGCUAUUCGAUCACCAUUAGAAGUUUAGUUUAAUGCUUCAUUGUUCUUAUAUUGUCGAAGGGCGUCGGACAUUUGUGUCUCUGGUUUUGUUUUAUGUGAUUUCGUGGAAACUAAUCCUUUGUAAUCGAGUUGGCCAUGGAUGAACACCUCGCCAGAGAUGCUGUUCCUUCAGCCAAAGAAGCCCACGGUUUAAAGCCAUUCGAGUCAGCAUCUCUCUCUAUUGUAAUGUGCUUAUGUUUGUUUGUUGCCGAUAUUGCUAGUGUUAGAGGUUUAGGUAUGGUGAGAUGUUUAUUUUUGGUGUUUUAAUGGUCGCCGAAAUUGGCCGACCGGAAGUGAUGAAUGCCGGUUAGUCGUGUUGGCCAGUGAUGAUGUAGGAUGGUGACCAGCAGCUAAAUGGCAGUGGUGUCAAGUGUUUCUCGACGGCGAAGACGUAGCAGGAGUUCAGCCCCAUUAAAGGAGGAGCCAGAAGUUGAAGACAAUGCUGGGUUGAAGGAGAUGGGCAGAAAAAGACAAAAUAGGAAAAAAUAAUAAAUGAGAAAAGGAAAAAAAAACAGUAGAAAAAUAAAAGGGCCAGGGGGUAUUCUGUUGUGGGUUGGGCUCAUUUCAAAAUGUGGGCCGAAAAAGAGUUAAAAAAAAAAAACGGUUCAUGGACUUUUUUAAUUAAUUACAAGCGAGCUUUUAGGGUUAAUGUUUUUAGCCCAACCCAUUCCAAUAGGGUUCGGGUUAUUUAGUUGGGUCGGAUUUCUUGACUCGGUCCGAAUCCCUUUUAUAUUAAUAAAUAAAUAAAUAAAUUUAAAAUUUUAAUAAAUAAAUAAUAUAAAAUUAAAAAAGGAAAAUAUUAUUAAAAAUUCAGAAAAUGAUAAAAAAAGUUUAAAAUCUUUAGGGAAUAAUAAAAAAUUUCAGAAAAUUCGCAAAUCAAUAAAAAUUAGAAAUUUUAGAAAAUCAUUAAAAAUUAGAAAAUCCAAAAAAUGAUAAUUUUUUUUAUAAAAAAAAAUAGAGGAUCCUUUGAAAGUAAAACCUAGAAUUGGAUAACCUUUUAGGGCUUUACAAUAAGGAUUCUUGUUUUGCUUUGUCUUGUUUUCUUUUUAAUGGACAAUUUAGGAUGCUUGCAUAUUCUCUAUAAUGAUUAUAAUUGUUUGUGCCUUUCAAUAUUUGGAUGUUUUUUCCUUGUUUUAGAAUGGUUAGGACAAAUCUUUUUAUUUUCUUGAUAGGGUGCUAUGGCAUUGGUUAGCAUAUGAUUAGAUUAGAUACUGAAAGGAUAUUAGCCUUAGGACUAACGUAAUCAAAUUCCCGAGUCCAAAAUCUCUGGUUGCGUAAAUAAUAAGAUAUCAUUCCGUAUCCUACUGGAUUUUUAGCAAAGCCCAAAAGGGCUAGUGGCGACUCUUUAGUCAAAAUUGCAUAAACUUAAUUGAUUAAAAAUUUGAACGCUCGAUGUCGCAUAAAUAUGGACUUGGGAGAGCUCAAAUCAAUGGAAGGCCAUCGGCUCGAAGUUGACAAUACUCCUAAACCUAACAAACUCCCUCUCCUAUGAGAGGAGUUAGGUCGCAACAAUUUCCUUUUUAGACAUUUUUUUUAACAUAAAUAUCGCCAUACACUUCUUCAUUCUUUUUCUGCAGUGCUUUGCUAUGAGCUAGUCUACUACCUAAACCAAAGUGGUUCACUUGGGUCAGGGAAUUUGCCAUCAAAACAUAGUUCGAACUUGUUGAUACCAAAAGUUGAUUUGGUUAUCGAUACACGUGUGCUUAGCAUGAGAAUGAGAAAUUAUUGGCAUAUGAGCAGGAAUAAGUAGCAGUCACGUGCAUAACGCAUAAGUGUCACCUUAUACAGCCGUCAACGAAUAUAGAAGUUAAGAUUUUUAGGUCGGACCCUUAACGAACUUUGUUCAUCACUCUUUUGACUACGUUGUAGUUAAGUUUCAUGUUUGUUAGACCUGGUUUAAUAGGUUGAAUAUCUAUUGAUAUGUCGUGAUGCUCUGUUGUCUUAAUGAUUUUCUAAUGUGAUGUUGCGCAUUGUUGAAUUUUUACAAAUUCUUAUGUAACCAUUUUAGAAAAUUUUCUUCACGGAGUAUGUUCCCCGUGAUGUUGUGGAUAUCGUGUAAUUUUCUUAGAACAAAUUAUAAAUGGGUUCCUUUUUCAAUUGUGUUGAUUUUAUUUACCCUGUUAUGUGGUGUUUUGUUACUAUUCUUUGCCGUGUUUUCCUUCUAGAAUUUCUUAGGUUAACUUGCAUGUUGAGUCUGCUUCAGAUUUAUUCACGGACUUUGUUCUUCACUUUUUGCACUUUAUACAAAAAAACUCUUGAAAAAUAAAAAGCACUUUAGUAUGUUUUUUCGACCUUUUAGAAUGUCAUGAACUUGUCUAAAUUUUCCUGUUUUUGUCAAUUUGAACCUAAUUUUAGUUGAAGUGAUACUCAUGCACACACUUUUUAUGUCGUCUUUGAAUUUCAAACUUUCAAACCAUGCUCUUGGUUUGGUAUUGAUGUUACCUAAAGUUUGGGACAUAUUUAAGGGAUCUGCAAAGUCGAUUAGAGUAGACAGGAUGCACCUGAUUUAACCUUGACAAUUAAAUGUGUUCCAUAACUGUGAUACAUCUUUGUUAUACCAUUAGCAUAUUUUCUCACAAUUCACUAUCAAUUGUUCUUCAAAUAAUUUUUUAGCAUCAUUUUAACUCUUAUAACCUUGAACUUGUUUACCUUUCUUAAAUGCAUAUGAUUGUGAUUAGUGUGUGUCGACUAAAUAAGUGAUCCAGUGUUGGCUCAUUGAAAUUGUCUGCUUGAUUGAGGACCAAGGCUUAAGGGUCUGCUGGCAUGUUUAUUUCCCGUUAUGCAUGUGUUCUAUUAGAUGUAUGCAUAGGUACGAUGUAUGAUUCCAUUGGAUGACCUCGGCAUUCACUUAGAACAUGUUUUAAGGGUUUAUAAGCAUUGGUUGCCAUGCAAGAACACAAAUAGUGGCCAAUAGCUGCAAGCUAUUGAAAUGAAUUGGGAUAGGUGUCUAGAGUUAUUGACACAUGAAUUGCAAAAGCCGACCCCGAGGCCCAAUUUGUUCAUUUUGCACGUGGUUUCAAUUGUUUGAUUCUUCUUGAUUGUCCUGUGAAUGUUUUUUUCAUGAAUGAUUGUUUCUUUCCUAUUGUAUGUACCUAGUCAUAGUUUUAGGUUAGGAUUAGAAUAGGUCCAUGGAAAUGGAGAUACUUCAAGACUUGAAGAUGAGGGAAGGUCGAUGUCCUAUCCGACCGUAUUUUUUGUAUCACUUGUCCCCAAUAUAUGUUUCCGGUUAUCUCGUAUUGUAUAAACACCCGACGAGUUGCAAGUUUAUUUCUUCCAUUUAUUUUUGUUCAUUGCUUAGGUUGUAUGUUAGAUUUACUGCAUUCCCUAAAUUGCUUACUUGAUUGUUUACUUACUGCAUUAUCUUUAAAUUUCAAGUGUUUGCCUUCUUUUCUCUUUCAUUGAAAUAGAAUAGCAUAAAAGCAAUCAUCCACACAUGAUCAUUUAGCUAGUAUAAUCGACCCAAAAAAAUAAACAAAAAUGCAUGGAUACCUUAGGAAACAUGACAUAAUAUUAAGUACCAAAAUGGCGCUAAUAGAAAUAUUAGUGUAACCUAAGUCUCUGAAUAUAUAAUCUCUAGCUACAUAGAAAUCGAGGGCCCACUCCCGACCCUCGAUUAGGUUUUCUAGCCGACCUUAAAAAAGAAGGCUAGUGGUGACUCCUAUCUUUUUAGGUUGUUUUAAAUAACUAGUUAAUAAAUGAACCUAUCGUAAGAGGUAUGGGUCUUGUCGAGACUCACCAGAGUUUAGCAUACCCAUUGUGGAAACCUCCUAAUGGAUAAAGGUUGCGUUUGGCGACCACUUUAUCAAACAAUAAAGUGAUAACAUUUUGAAAUGUCUUUCAUUAAAUGUUUCCCAAAUCAUUUUAGAACACAUUCUAUAAAUCAGUUAGAAACAUAAUACAAAUAAAUAAACUUUCACAACACCUUCCAUAACAACUUUUUCAAACCAUUUUCAAAUAAUUGAAGAGCAAUAAAUGCCCGAUCUAGAUUUUAAUGUAGUAACAAUGUUAUAUGUUAACUCAUAAAAUAUCAUUUUUAAACAUGAGGUAAAAAACUUAAAGAAAGAUAACACCACUCACCUUGAACUACCUACAAUCAAACAAUGAAGAUUACUUGAACCAUUAAACUCACAAUCUUAUCAAAUAAGUGAAGAACAAAAUUAAAAUUUUAAAAAAUAAUGCGUGUUAAGUCAAUUUUGAGUUUUGAGUUUUGACUAAGGAGUCAUUGAGCUACAUGGCCAUCAAGUUAGAUACUGUUCACAUUGGUCCAAGAGAGCACAAGUAUCACUACCGCAGAUAGGAUGCCGCUAGGAUGGCAAAAGGGACAGGAAUGAACCGAACCAUGCACCAAUCAGAGGAAGAAUGUUUUUAGGGUGAUUUAUCAAGGUAGCGCAGCAGAAUUUUGGUUAAGUUUGUAGAAUUUCAGUUUGUUGUAAUAAAGCUAUAGAAAGAAGAAUCACUGGCUAGAGUUGUACUUGACUAGUUUGCUUAAGAAUAACUUUGACGUCAUAUAUAAAAAGGUUUAACUCGAGGAGCUUUUUGUUGUAAUGAAUUGUUGUCGUAAUGUAAUACAGUUUGACCUAUCAACGGAUGAAAGUUUCGAAUUUAUCGGAAGUUGAGGAGGACCCUCAAUUACCCUAAUCUCAUCGCUUGAGGCAACCCGUUUGUUAGAUGGGGGAUGUCAAGGUUACCUAGCAACUGUCAUGGAUACGAUAGUUGAAAAGCUAAAGAUUGAAAACAUUGCAGUAGUUCGAGAAUUUCCAAAUGUGUUUCUAAAAGAAUUGCCAGGUUUGCUGCCGGAAAGGGAGAUAGAGUUCGUGAUUGAGUUAGCACCCGGGACAGAGCCAAUCUCUAAGACUCCUUACUGGAUGGCGUUGUCUGAUUUGAAGAACUGAAGGUGCAGAAGAUAGGGUAUCAUCAGUUGAGGAUUAGAAAAGAAGACAUACUGAAUUAGCAUUUCGUACUCGAUACGGCCAUUAUGAAUUCAUUGUAAUGUCGUUUGGUUUAACAAACGCCUAGCUACUUUCAUGGAUCUAAUGAACUAAGUGUUCAAAGAGUAUCUGGAUCGGUUUGUGAUCAUGUUCAUCGAUGAUACCCUAGUGUACUGGAGAAGCCUAAAGGAGCAUGAAAGGCAUUUGAGGAUGGCACUUCAGACACUGAGGAUUCAUGAGAUGUAUGCCAAGUUUAGCGAGUGCAAGUUUUGGUUGACUCGUGUUGCUUUCUUAGGUCUCGUGAUUUCAGGCGAAGGAGUCUCUGUGGACCCGACCAAGAAGCAGUUAUCAACUGGCCAAGACUAACAAUAGUAAUAGAGAUUAGAUGUUUCUUGGAUUUAGCAGGGUACUACUGAAGGUUUGUGAAAUGAUUUUCAGCUUUAGCUUCACCGUUGACUUGAUAGCUAAAGAAGGAAUAGAAGUUUGUGUGGAACAAUAAGUGCGAGUGUAAUUUUCAAGAGUUUAAGCAGAAGCUAACUACCGCACCAGUAAUAACCAUACCAUCUGGUCCUAGAGGAUAUGAGAUCUAUAGUGAUGCGUCAUUUAGAGAACUAGGUUACAUGCUGAUGUAACAUGGUAGGGUUGUUGCAUAUGUGUCCCGUCAAAUAAAACUUCAUGAGCUGAAUUAUCCAACGCAUGACUUAGAAUUCAUAGUAAUCAUUUUCGCUCUGAAGAUUUGGAGACAUUAUUUAUAUGGAGAAAGAUUCUAGAUCUUCAUUGACCAUCAAAGUCUCAAGUAUCUAUUCUUUCAGAAUGAGUUGAAUAUGAGACAGCGUCGCUGGAUGAAACUCCUAAAGGAUUAUGAUUGUGAUAUUCUGUAUCACCUGGGAAAGACUAAUAAAGUUGCAAAUGCGCUUAGUCAGAAGUCUUCAAUUGCGCAUAUGAUGGUUAAGGAAUGGAUUUUACUCAAGAGAGCUCGAGAUUUGGUUUUCAAGUUUGAAGUAGUCCACCUUUCCAAUCUUAUGACCAUCCUCAGAAUUGAACCAGAAGUACAUAUCAGAAUUAAGACGCUUCAGUUGACAGACCCGGAUGUUCAAAAGAUCCUGCAAGAGGAUACUGAAAAGAAACAGGUUGAUUUUUAGAUUUCUAAAAACGGAACACUAAGGUUCCAAGGAUCAUUGUGUGUACUUGACGAUGUGGAGCUUAAAUAAGAGAUCUUGUCAGAAGCUUAUCGUAGCAAUUACAGCAUUCAUCCUAGCAGUACAAAGAUGUAUCAGAAUUUGCAUCAACACUAUUGGUGGACUGGUAUGAAGGUGGAUAUCGCUAAGCAUGUUGCCAAGUAUCUGACGUGUCAGCAAGUGAAGGCAUAACAUUGUAAGCUGGGAGAACUUCUGCAACCUCUUGAGAUUCCUGAAUAAAAAUGGGAACACAUCACAAUGGAUUUUGUGAUAGGCUUACCAAGGAGUCAGAGAGGUAAUAAUUCCAUUUGGGUAGUGGUCCACAGACUGACGAAGUCAGCUCACUUUAUCGCCGUACGAAAGGACCUUGAAUUGGACAGGCAUGCGAAGUUGUAUGUGUGUCAAAUUGUUCAUCUGCACAUAGUGCUAGUGACGAUAACAUCAGACCGAGACCCAAGAUUCACAGCUGCAUUUAGGAAUGAAGCUGUAGUAUAGUACGGCCUAUCAUCCUAAAAAAAAUGGCCAGUCGAAGAGGAUGAUUCAAACCCUUGAAGACAUACUGCGAGCUUGCAUGUUGGAUUUCAAGGGAAGCUGUGAGGAACAGCUUCAUCUUGUCGAGUUCGCCUUCAACAAUAGCUACCGGCAGAGCAUUCAGAUGGCUCCUUUUGAAGCAUUGUAUGGUAGGGUGUGCAGAACGCCAGUGUGUUGGAAUGAGGUCGGAGAACGGAAGAUCACAGGCCCAAAGUUAGUUCAACAGUCAAUGGAUGCAAUUGCCGUUAUCACUGCCGUUAUCAGAGACAGAUUAAAGACCACUCAAAGCCGCCAGAUAAGCGUCGAAGACUAUUGGAAUUCCAAGUUGGUGAGCACAUCUUUCUGAAGGUGUCACCAAUAGGGGUACUUCAUGCUUCGGCAAUAAGGAAAAGUCAAAUCCGAGGUACGUGGGUCACUUUAAAAUUCUGGAAAGAAUCGAGAUCCUAGUGUAUCGUCUUGCACUGCCACUGAGGUUGGCAUAAGUGCAUGACGUCUUUUCACGCGUCGAUGUGGAGGACGUAUGAGCUUGAUCCAAAUCAUGUGCUAAAUUUUGUAGAAUUAGACAUGGACAGCUGGGAGUCAUACGUGGAAAGCAGAAUUCAGAUUGUGGAUUGGAAAGGACAUAUUAUGCACACCAAGACAAUCUUGUUGGUUAAAGUGGUCUGGCAACACCACAGCACAGAGGGAACAACCUGAGAAAGUGAAGAUUCGAUGAAACGACUGUACCCCACAUUUUUGUUUAAAGAUUUUUAAGGGUUUAAAUUUCGAGGACGAAAUUUUUAUAAGAGGGGAAGAGUUGUGACAUCUUGAUUUUCAAGUUCUAUUUUCGAUUGAAUAAGUUAUGUGGCACCCCUCGACGGCCCCCGAUCCGAUUAGGGUCGCCACAGUUCGCUUACCAUUCACUUUUCCUAAUAACACGUCACUCUGAUACCAUUUCAAUUGCAGCGGGUCCAUACAACCUGGGGGUUUACAUCUUUUAGAUUGGUCCCUUGUGCAAUUUAUAUACGGAAGCACAUCCAACAACUCCCUUCCCUAUAUUCAGAAAGCGAUGCACAUCAACUAAACAUUUAUAGGUAAAAGCCGUACACUUUUAUUUACUUAAACCAGAUGGACAUCAUUCAUCGGUACAUCAAAAUGCCGCAGUCUUCAGUACUCGGCUAUACUUCAAAAGAUGAUCGACAUCUCCUCCCACAAUCGUAUGCUUAAGGUCCAUCAACCAGUGUCGGCGUCCAAAAGUUCCAUCCUUUGCUAUCCAUCUCCUCACGGUCAUAUCCAACCGCUCAAACCAUCUACUAAUCUGAAAUGUUGGUCAUCAAAAGGGGUGAGUACAACCACUCAACAGGUAAAGGACCAAUAAACCACUCAAUGCAUCAUGCCACACAAUCAUCACAAUCAUAGCAUUACAUGUCAUUGAAGUAUCCAUGCACAAUUUACCUUGAUAUCAUGCACAUGUCAUCAUAUCUUAUGUACAUACAUCAUCAUUUAGUCAUCACCAUCAUGUCAUAUACUUACCAUCAUCAUGUCACACAUACCAUCAUGCCAUAGGUGCACAUACAUCCAUGCACUCAUGUAUACAUGUUGCCAUACCAUGCAUAAGUCAAUUUCAAUUUCCCAAUUUUAUUCUUUCAUUUUGGGCUACCACAUUUCUCUUUCCCGGGACCAAUAUUUGCAUCCCACAUUUAUUGCUUGCGCCCAAACUGGCAUCGCGAGGAACCUCCGGGCAUGUAUUCAAAAUACAACCGCGCAUCUGGCCCCCCACAUUCCGGGCAUCUCGUAUCCCAACUAGCAUCACGAGAAACCUCCGGGCAUGUAUCCAAGAUACAACCGGGCAUCCGGCAUUUACACUCCCUGACCGGGCAUCUCGCAUCCCAACUAGCAUCGUGAGGCAUCCCCCUGGGCACAAACCUCCAGGGCUUCUGGAAUUACGUACCGCCAUACCACCAGGCACUCCCCUUGGAAUUACGUACCGUAUACCACCGGGCAUCUCGAAACUCCCGAGGACCCUCCGGGCAUGCAUCAUGAUACAACCGGGCAUCCAGCACAAACCUCUUGGCAUGUAUCAUGACACAACUGGGCAUCCGGCACUCCCUAGCCAGGCAUCCCGACACUCCCGGGGCAUCGUCGGCUCACACCUCCGAUGGCAUUCUCAUUUAUCAUAGUUUAUAUUCACAAUUGUGGCUCAAUUUCAACAUGGCAUAUAAUGUGAUGGCAAACAAGAUCAUUUUCAUCAUUCGGUUCAUUUCCAAUCAUCAACAUACAUGCAGCAAGACACUAUCAUCCAAUCAAUACAAUUCAUGGAGUCCAUGCAAUUUAAAAUGGUCCAUAUUUCAUGCCCUUUUCAAUGUUUACAAAAUUCCAGCUUGUACCAUUUUAGAAAACAUUUGAAUUAAAUAUCCAUAUGAUUCUAAAAAAUCAUGAAAUCAGGAUAUGAAAUAUACAAGACAAUAAGAUAACAACUUCGUGAAGAACACAUGCCCUAAAGAGUUUCACACAAGAAGAUAUAAUCCACACAAAUACAGCAUGCAAUUUCGGAUAGAAACAAAUUGCGCAGUUUUUGAAAUAAUUCGAUUAAAAUACCUGAAUGACCUUCGAAAAUUAUGAAAUUUUACCAGGUUAUAUUUAAGACACUAAAGUAUAUUUUUAAUGAAGACAUCUAGUCCAGAUUAGUCCUAGAUAAUUUUAUAUAGACGUACGAAUCUCCUGGUUCUCGCACCGAAACGUCCGGUAUAGUUAUCUCCGAAACAUCGAGUUUUCACCUACUCAUUAUUCUUCGUUUCCUCUGAAAUUUGGAUAUGUUUUUCUUCAAGAGGUCCCCUAUAACUUUAAUUAAGGGAUCUAAGCGAAAUUUCCAAAGAAUAGUCUCCAUAUGGGUCUAAGAAGUCUCGAGUGUCCAGUACCGUAUUUCCAGAUCUACCGUCUUCAAGAAUAAGUCGAUUCACUAGGCUACACUUGCUAAUUUUACUUCAAAUUUUAUUAUGUUAGUCCUUAGGAUGUUCUAUACAAGUUUCAUGAAGAAGUCGAAGAGAAAUUAUUGGUAAAAAGCAACAUACAACCCACAAAACUACCGAAAGGUCAGCAAAGCAGUUCCAGAUCUAGUAUCUUUGUAGGAAGAGGGUUUUUCCCCUUAAAUCUCAACCAUUUUGUCCCAAAUUUUAGUAUGUUGUAUUUUAAAAUGUUGGCUACAACUUUCAUGAAGGAAUAAAAGUCAAAAUCCAACUCAAAACAUGCAUUCAAGACUCCACAAGUUUCUGGGUCGAGCAGUACGCACGAAAUCAGCAAGCAUCUUCAAGAGCAAACCACAUUUGCUUCGAUUUCUUGACUCUAAACAUCCAAAAUUUUCAACCACACAUGCAAGACACACAUGCAAGAGUAGAAAUUGAUCGUAACUUGCCUCCAAAAUCGAGCAAACGACGGCACACGGACGGCGACGAACGAGCGGACGGGCAGCUCUUCCUUGCGCGAUCUCUUCUUCCUUUCUCUCGGUUUCUCUCACUCUCAAUUUCUCUCAAUCUCUCUUCUCUCUCUUACUUCCGAGAAUCCCCUCCCCUUUCUUGCUUUUUGAUUAAUCAAUUAACUCUAUUUUUUGCAUGAAAGAAAAUGAUUAAGUGGAUGUAAGAUGGACAAGUGUCUAAUGGCAAGGGACAAGUGUAAUUGUGGAGGAAGACAAGUGUCCACCAUGCUUCACCUCCUUCAUGCCACUUGUCCGAUUACAUGCAAGGUUGAUGGGCCUUCUUCUUGGGCCAAUCUUGGGCCAGCUUGGUCGACCACUUCAUGGCUCUAUGGGCCGGGCCUCUUGGCCCACUUUAGGCCCAUCUCACUUGGGCCUAAAGCCCAAACUUAAAUGGCUCAAGUUUAUUUUUAAUAAUACAUUUUAAUCCUCAUUUAAAUAAAUACCUAAUUGCAUAACAAAAUGGCCAAAAGACUUUGUGACAUUAAUCCAUCAAAUCUAUAAAGUGCAUAGUCAAGAACAAAGUCUUCUUUAUCCAAUUGUCCGAUGUCCAAUUUAAAUAGUCCAUAGAAAAAUAUCAAUAAUAAGCCCAUAAUUCCUACACCACUUUAGGGCAUUUGAUUUUGAUUUUUAUUUAUAGAAAUCAAUUAACAUUCUCAUAAUCAAUUAACAUUUUCAUAAGGGGUUUGGUCCAAGAGAUAAAAUAUUGUUUCCCUCAAAAUCAAUAUUUCGGGUUGAAAUUCCCGAAUGCCAUAAGUUAGGUUUUUCAUUGAUGCGCCUAUAAUUUUUUUCUCUGAGCUGAUCACUCACGGGAUAACUAGUCUAUCAAGUGAAGUCAUUAAGGAAUCUAAACACAAUAGACUUGAGAAUUCGACCAAGAAUCGACUGCUCAACCGUGCUAAUCUACGAGGGUCAUUAUGGCACCGUCAAAAUCGAUCAGAGAUCGAAAAUGGGUCGAUUUGACAAAGGUAUGUGAUUAGUGUGUGGGUGAUUCCACCUAAUUGCAAAUUUUUUGUCGAACGGCACUAAACCGAUUUUUCUGUCAUUUUUUUACCUUGUGUACGUAUUUGAAACCUCGAGAUUCUCAUGACAACUGAGAGUCACCAAUGUGUCAAAGAUGUUCAAUGGGACUCGAAAAUAAUCGAUCACGGGUCAAAUGCGUUAAAAAUUUCUAAAAGCUACUCGGUGGGAUAGGUCAUGCUAAAAUCGCGUCAGAUUGAAAUUAACCACGAAAUUAAACCCGAUUUCAGAAAUUGAAAGUUUUGUCAUGUCACGAUUUAUUUAGGAAUGUUGACUCAUCCUCCAAAGAAUUUUCGGCAAGCUCAGGAUUUUUACGAAAAAUCAAUUCAAACGAUUCGGAAAAGAAAGGAAAUUCGAAUAGGCCAAAUUGAGUAGAUGUUUGGCCUUCUUAGUGAGCUAUUUGGUGAAGGAAAAUUGUGGAAAUUUUGUGGGCUUCUUCCUUAACAAAAUUGGACAUCAAAUUGGGGAAAUUGGUGAAGAAAUUGAAGUCCAAAGUGAGGAAAUUCAGAGGCUUGGUGUGGGGGCUACAACAUUUGGCUUCAACUUGGUUAUUUGUGGAAAUUAUAUGCAAGAAAGUAAUGGGGGACCAUGAGGAUAAGCAUGAAGAUUUCUUGGACCUUGUAUUAAUGAAUUUUAGAUAUUUUCAUUUGACUUUCUUCUCUCUCUCUCUUUCCUCCCCCCUUCUCUUCUUCGUGCGCCCGCUUCUUCCUUCAAAGCAGCCCACCACCACAUUGUUUCUCUCUCCCCCCAACAGUGACCAAAUCCCCUAUGCAUGCCCAUGCUCAUGAACUCCUGCCUCCUCCAUUUUUCUGCCUUUCGUCGUCAUGUCCGAGUCAACUAGCGAAACAAUUCCCCCAGUGUCAACCCCUCUCUUUGCAUGUUCCCUCCAUCGAAGCAGCCCACGAUCACCUCUCUCCUUCGUCCGCCCAUCUCCAGCAUUUCACCCCAUCAUCACCCCCUGUCCUGCUGCGUGCCAGCUCCAUUUCCAUGCCCCAACCCCAACUUCGUCUAGAUAGCCCCACCAGUCAACUCUAGCGGUCAGUUGACCGCAUGCCUUCAUGCCAACGAAGCCCAUCGUUUGCCCAUCUUCUCCAACAAAUCUCUCUCUCUCUCUCUCUCGCUGCCCCUUCACCCAACGAUUCAGCCCCCAUAAAACUUCACGUUGACGCCAGCAACUCCUUCCCAUUUUUCUUUGUUCGGCCAACGUUUCAUUCGCACCUCAGCCGAGCCCAACUGCAAGCCACCAAAGCCAGCUCAGCCCAAAGCCAACAUUCGAUCGAGUAGCAAGCAGUGGGCUUGCUAGGCUUUUUCAACCCAAUUUGAGCUCCUGUUAGCAUCGAAGUAAGCCCAAGUUUUGGCCAUCAUCACGCCGCCGUCGCCAUGAACCGGUUUUCACGCUAAACCGGUCAAUUUAUGCACUAAACUCUAAUUAGGAUGUUAAUGACGCUUAAGGGGUGUUUAGAUUAAAGUAAGAUUAGAUUAGUGUAGUUAUUAGCUUUUUUUAGUUAAGUUAGGUUAGUAAAAUAGUAAAUUAGGUGGUUAGAAAUUUUAGUUAGAUAGUUUAUUAUGUAGCCUUGAAGUUAGAAUGGUUAGUAUAAUUUUAUAAGUCCAAUAGGUGGUUAGAUUAGCAAUUUUUAGCCUAAGUUGGUAUUUAUUGAAUUAAUAUGUAUGUAUUUAAAUAAUUUUGAAAAUUAUUUGAAUAUUUAAUGUUUUCCGAAAAUUAGACCAGAAUAGUUGGUGACUGGAAUUUCGUAUUAAUUGCAAUGGUGUGUUCAAUUUAUGCAAUUGGGUGUUAUUUUGUGCAAAUUGAGUGCUGAUUGGAAUUUUGGUUAUUUAUCCCAAAAUUUGUAAAUUUCAAUAUUUAUUCAGAAAAUCCCAAGUGUCGGGUUUUGACAUCGAAAAUGAUUUUAUAUAUUAUAUGAAAUAGUGAAAUUUUAAAAGAAAGGGUAUCACUUUUUAAAGUCCGAUCUGACCGUGUACCCACACAUGAUUAUUUUCACCGGGUGUUUUUAAUACGAAGAAAAUUGGUCAAGUGCAUUAUCUUAAUUGAGACAUUUGUGUGCAAUGCCCGGUGUCCUUGGCCUUAUUUGAGUGAUCGUGUGUUGGUUAAGAGAAAUCAUCCUGGGUUGUUAAGUUGAACGUUACCCAAAUAUGGGACACCCUUAGACAAUAGAAGCUGGUCGUAGUAUAUUCUAGACCUAUGCUCCUUUGGGAAAGCUGUCUAGGAAAGACAUAACCGUGCUCAAUGGGGUGAAAUGACGUCUGGCUAUGCUAGAAGAUCGCCAAAUAGCAAAUAGGCCAUGCUAUAAGCCGAGAUCAAAACUAAGGACGCAUGACUAAUUGAGUUGAACACGCUGGAUUAUGGGACAAAAUUGUGUGGCAUGGUAUUGGAUGUGUCAUAACAAUUUGGUCCUAUAAUCAAGACCCUUGUGUUUGGUUUAAAUUGAGUGUGGCGUACCAGUUGAUGAGCUUAUUUAAUGCUCAUGUUUUUGUGGUUGUCUAUGAUAUGAAUUGUGCUGACAUGCAGGGAUGAUCUAAGACAAUGUAAGUCUCUAUGGUUGUGUGAUUGUGUGGUUAGGACUCCUCUAGGCGUAUUACCCUCCUAACCGGGAUUUAGAGCGUGAACUUGCUAAGAUUUAUAUCUCACCCCAUUGUGAACUUCAACUUUUCAGGAUCGUACGAUGGAAGACCUGGAGCCGAGCUGAGGGGAUCUGAGGUGUAGGUCAAAUAGGACAGCUUCUUUUGAGAGCAGGCUUUUUUGUAGGCUUUUAGGUGUUGACUUUUGUAUAUAACUCAAUUCGUAUAUAAAAGCAUGCUUUGUUUGUGAAUCUAUUUCCUACUUUUCUAUCCCAAGCUGAUGAUGCCAAGGGAGUUAUUAUUCACUUUCGAAUGCGCAAUAGAAUGAAUGGAUCAAUGAUGCGUCUUGGAACGUUGCAAAUUUUAUCGACCACCGAGGGAUGAGUACGCACUCGAAGAUCGAGGCGUGACAUGAAAGGUUUCAAAUUGCAAUUGUCCGUAAAGUCAAACAAUCUAAGCGGCCUCCUCAACACAUGAGAGAGGAGAAGCAAGAAACUCUCCCUUCUACGACACUCCGUCGCAAGGUACCAAGCCAGAAACAAUGCUUUUCUUCUUCUUGCUCUUCCUCACCACCACCAGCACUCAUUCCCCAUCGGUCCAUCCUCAACCACUCCCUCCAAGCCCAUGUCAAAGUCCACGUCCCAAAAGCAUAUUCCUCCUCGUUGGGCAGAGUAACAUGGCGGGAUGGGGCGGCGUUGACCCAUCCAUAGGGUGGGAUGGUGUCGUCCCUCCCGAGUGCAGCCGCAACCCAUCCAUCCUCUGACUCACGAUGAACCUCAAAUGGGUCGAGGCACAGGAGCCACUCCACAUAGACAUUGACACGACUGCAAUAAAUGGGAUCGGCCUUGGUAUGGCCUUCGCCAACGCUGUCAUGAGACAAGAUCGGAAUCUAGGCUUGGUGGGUUUGGUGCUGUGUGCAAUCGGCAGGAUGAAAAUAAGCCAAUGGGAGAGAGGGACGUUUUUGUACAACCAGUUUAUGAGGCGAGCGCGAGCUGGGACGAAUGACGGGGGGACAAUCAAAGCUUUUUUUACAGUAAAACAAUUUUUCUCUUCUAUGUUUAAUUCUUUUUACAAGAAUAUAACCAUGCAUAUAUACAUCGACGUAACCAUCCUAGAAUCUCCUACAAAUCUGGAGAUCUCCUAUAAAUCACUACAAACCAGGAGAUCUCCUACAAAUCAGAAGAUACAUAUGUAUAUAUAAAGACUUAAAUAGAAAAACUCUCCUAUUGGGGCCCUAAUUGACAGCUCAUGUUAACACUCUCCUUAAGCUAGUGAGAAAAUAUCUUUGAUACCCAACUUGACAAGUGAGCUGUGGAAAGCUCGACUCGAUACAACCUUUAUAAGUAUGUCUGCCAAUUGGUCUUCAAAUUUGAUAAAUGAAAAACUUACCACCAUAUCAUCCAGAUUUUGCUUGAUAAAAUGCCUAUCAACUUCAACAUGUUUAGUGCGGUCAUGUUGAACUAGGUUGUGGGAAAUCUGAAUUGCGGCCUUAUUAUCACAAAACAAUUGCAUUCCUGACUUAGGUGGAAAACCAAGUUCUGUCAACAACUUCUUUAGCCACAAAAGCUCAAAUAGUCCUUUAGCCAUCCCCCAAAACUCAGCUUCAACACUUGACAAAGCUACUACUUUUUGUUUCCUGCUCCUCCAUGUAACCAAGUUUCCUCCCACAAAUGUGAAGUAGCCUAAUGUCGAUCUCCUAUCCGAGGUAUUGCCAGCCCAAUCAGCAUCUGUAAAUCCUUCCACCUCAUGGUGAUUAUUCUUCGCAAAGAUAAGUCCUUUCCCUGGUGCUAACUUCAAGUAACGUAAGAUCCAAACUACAGCAUUCAUAUGAUCUUCACUAGGAGCAUGCAUAAAUUGACUUACAACUCCUACAGCAUAUGCAAUGUCAGGCCGAGUGUGCGAUAGAUAAAUUAAUCUCCCUACCAAUCUUUGAUAUCCGUCAUUAUUGGUCGAUACCUGAUUAGGGAAAACUCCAAGUUUAUGAUUUUGUACUAUAGGGGUAUCAGCAGGUUUGCAAUCCAACAUCCCCACCUCAGCCAACAAGUCCAACACAUACUUUCGUUGAGAUAAGACUAUACCUUCUUUUGAUCUAGCCACUUCAAUACCCAAAAAAUAUUUCAGGCCCCCCAAGUUCUUCAUCUCGAACUCAUUUGCUAGUUUCCUUUGAAGUUCUGCGAUCUCCUCAAGGUCAUCCCCUGUGAUGAUCAUGUCAUCUACGUAUAUAAUCAAUGUUGUCACUUUGUCAUGUUGCCGUUUCAGGAACAACGUAUGGUCCGAAUUACUUUGAGUGUACCCAUACCUUUUUAUUGCAGAGCUAAAGUGACCAAACCAAGCCUGUGGUGAUUGCUUUAAUCCGUACAACGACCGCUCGAGUUUACAUACCACUUCCAAUUUAUCAGCACACGCAUAUCCGGGUGGGAUUUCCAGGUAAAUCUCUUCUUCCAAAUCUCCAUGUAAGAACGCAUUCUUUACAUCAAAUUGAUGUAAGGGCCAGUCCAAAUUUGCUGCAAAUGAUAACAAUACCCACACAAUGUUUAGUUUGCAACUGGAGAGAAUGUUUCAUGGUAGUCCACGCCAUAGGUCUGGGUAUAUCAUUUUGCUACUAGACGUGCCUUGUACCUCUCAACAAAACCAUCUACUUUAUAUUUGAUGGUGAAUACCCAUUUAUAUCCUACUGCCUUUUUUCCCUUCAGUAACUCGACAAGUCUCCAAGUCUUAUUUUUCUGUAAAGCCUCCAUCUCUUCUUGCAUUGCUUGAACCCACUUAGGAUCCCUCAAUGCCUCCUUUACUUCACUAGGAACUCUACUUGUAGAGACAUUCGAGACAAAUUCCUUUAAAGGUCCCGACAACUGCUUUGUCGAAACAUAAUUAGUAAUCGGAUACUUCAACCUUCGUUCUUCCACAUCUGGUGAGUACCUAUUAGGAGCCUUGCCACGAUUAUGUCUAUCAUGCAAUUUAUAACAAAUAGCUACAUCAGUAUCAACAAACAAAUUAUGUGUGGUAGAAGAACUUACCUUAGGAGUAUCCUCAGGAGAAUUGUCAGGUACUAAAGAGGGGGUAUUUUGAAGUGAAGGGAGCUGUUCUUGAGAUUGUUUGUGUGUCUCUUGCACCAAAUCAACCUGAUGAUCAAAUUCCUUAGUGUGCUACUACUCAUUUUCCAUUGUCCCACCAUGAUCUGUGACCACACCAUUGCUAGCCAACGCUACCUGCUGCAGCAUGUGAACCUGCUUGUCAACUUGCACCUUAGCUUGUGUGUUACCAGUCCUUGUGUCACCAGGUGUUGGCACUGCGGGGUCAUUUUUUUUAAAAGCAAAAUCAGCCACAACCCCUGCCAUCACACCACCUUCCCACCAAUUUGUCCUUUCACUAGAGGUCUCCCCCUGAAUGGUACAAUUGGGUGUGGGAAAAAAUAAUUCGGACUCGAUGAAGGUGACAUCCAUUGUGAUGUGGGUUUUCUUGGUAGCCGGAUUGUAAUAGCGGUAUCCUUUCUGAUGAGUGCUAUAACCAAUGAAAACACACUUCACCGCACACGGAUCGAGUUUUGUCCGUUGGUUCUUGUGGAGAUGGACGUAUGCCACACACCCAAACACUUUGGGAGGUAGUGUCAUGAUGGAAGGAAGAGGAACAUAGGAUGCAAGUGCUUAAAGUGGGGUCUGAAAGUUCAACACACGAGAGGGCAUUCUAUUCAUCAAAUGUACCGUUGUAACCACGGCGGCAUCCCAAAAACGAGAUGGAACCAAACCACCUAUGAGGAGUGCCCAUGCCAUCUCGAGGAUAUGGUGGUUCUUCCUCUUAGUGAUACCAUUCUGUUGGGGCGUCCUAGUGCAAGACAUUUCAUGUAUAAGCCCGUGGUCCUGAAAGUAAACUGCAAUAUGCUGGUUAAUAUAUUCCCCACCAUUGUCGCUACGAAGGACUUGAAUUUGAGUCCCAAACUAUGUUGCAAUCAUCCAAUGAAGCAUAUGGAAUAUUGUUGCCACUUCAUCCUUAUGCUUCAUUAAAUAAACCCAAGGCAUCCGGGUACAAUCAUCCACAAAUGUUACAAACCAACAAAUCCCAGAUAGAGUAGUAAGCGGUGAAGCGCCCCACACGUCCGAAUGAACCAAAGAAAACGGCCUAAUGCUUUUAUUAAAACUCAAAGGAAAAGAGGCACGAUGACUUUUUGCCAAAAUACAUGUCUCACAUUGGAAUUCAGUAUCUGACAAAUUAUGAAACAAGUCUGGAAAUAAAUGUUUUAAAUACCCAAAAGACGGGUGUCCUAAACGAUGAUGCCAUAACCAAAUCGCUUUCUCUUUAUUAGUAGACCCGCUCCUUGUGCAAUGUGCUCGGCCUGCACGAAAGUUAUCAACAUAGUACAGCCCCCCCUUUUAGUACCACGACCAAUAAUCUCCUUCGUGAGGAUAUCCUGAAAUAAGCAAAAAGAUGGAUACAUAAGAACAUAACACUUCAAAGCAUCAGUGAAUUGGCCAACAGAGAGUAAUCGGUUAGAUAGAGAGGGCACUAAUAAAGUGUGAAACAAUGAUAAAGAAGGUGUAAGAUCAACAUUGCCAGCCCCAGUGACAGGAUAACUAGUGCCAUUCGCAUUAUAGAUACUCUGUCUCCUCGGAGUGGUGUAGCAUAUAAUAUUGUUACGAUUGGGUCAUGUGAUCCAUUGCCCCAAAAUCAACAAUCCACCCCUCCCUGCCACAUUGAGAAUUACUAACAAGUGCACACCUAGUGUUACCUUCAGGAGCCACAUCAGAAGUAUUGGUAGCGUCUACCUGUGGUACCAAGGAAAGGGGUGAGGUCCCAGUAGCCAAUGAUGCAUGCCCCCGUCCUAUAGCAUUUUCUGUCUUUUUCUUGUUCUGCAACUCCUUCCACCAAUCCGGAUAACUGUGCAAUUUAAAACAUGUAUCUUUUGUAUGUUUAGUAUUACCACAAUGAGUACAACCUCCUGGAUGUUGUGGUUUAGCCUUCGAACCUUUGUUAGUCCUCCCUCCACCAGACGCAGUAUUAGGAGGGACCAUUUGGAGAGCUUUGGACUCAUUGUUGGCCUUGAGAAAGUGUGAGAUAACAUUUCCACCACGCGACACCAGAGUUGCCGCGGUGCUAGAUGGUUCAAUUGAAGAUAACAUAAUAGCUUGGCGUACAUCCUCUCGCCUCACCCUAGCGUGCGCUUGCUCCACCGUCAAGAAGGGAUGCAUCUAUAGAACAUUAGCCCUGACUUUAUUAAGACGAUCAUCAAGCCCGUCAAGGAAAUGAUAUACACAGUCUUCUUGCACAAGAGCGUUGUAGCGCUCGAUAUCACGAGCACAAGUCAUGAGAUUAGGCCGUCGAAAAUCAACCUCCCGCCAUAAACCCCGAAGAUCAUUAUAAUACUUUUCAGUCGGGCCGCUUGCCUGCUUCAGUCGAAACAAACAUCAGUUUAGAUCAUACACUUGGGAGACAUUGGUGCCAUCAAUGAACACAGUAGCCACCGAAUCCAAUACUGCCUUUGCUGUUGGGAAACAGAUAAAAUUCCUAAUCAACGCCGAGUCCAUGGAAUUGAUGAGCCAUCCUUUAACUGUACUGUCGUCAGUCUUCCAGUUUCGAAAAUUAGGGUCGAUCAGAAGUGGGGGUGGAAAAUCCCCAUUGAUAUAUCCCAAUUUGUCUUUCCCGGAGAUAUACAUCUCAACAACUUGGGACCAAAGGCCAUAAUUACAACCAUCCAACUUGACUGCAAUUGGUGGGGCAGAGUUUUCAGCAUGAGAAGGUGGGGCUUGAUGGUGAGUCAAGAUUUGUGUUAACUUGGACGUCAAGGUUUCGAGGAGUGCAUCAGUAGUGGAAGUCCCUCCUAGAGCCUAAUGCGAGACUACAGUGCCUUCCGCUGGAGCUGGAGGAACUAUCUCAAUGGGUGGCUUGUCAUCCACCAUGAAUCCUGAUAAAGGAUGGAGUCAGUGUGGCAAUCCGCACAAAACCACCGCCCGGCUACGCCACAGCAAGGAAUUCGGAUCGUGAUAAGAACACAGAGUCCCUAGAUCAUUUGCUCUGAUACCAUGUUGAACAGUAAAACAAUUCUUCUCUUCUGUGUUCAAUUCUUUUUACAAGAAUAUAACCACGCAUAUAUACACUAACGUAACCAUCCUAGAAUCUCCUACAAAUUUGGAGAUCUCCUAUAAAUCACUACAAAUCAGAAAAUACAUAUGUAUAUAUAAAGACCUUAAAUAGAAAAACUCUCCUAUUAAGGCCCUAUUUGACAGCUCAUGUUAACACUCUUGUGGUACCAAGGAGAGGGCAACACGUGGAGGAAAGCGACGCGGUGCAGUACAAAGUGAGGCUGGAGAAGUUCUUUACGGAUGUGAGGACUGAUCUGCAGUCGCCUAAGCUACCAAUUUUCCAGGUGAUUAAAUUUCUCUUUUAUGCUUCAUUUCGGAAUCAAUUGCAUCUUUCACUUUAGAUUGUUCAAACAAAUUAUGAUAAAAUUAUAAAUGAAAGUUGCUAUUUAAAUUAAGCAAAUGGCGAUCAUCUUGAUGUGGUACAUUCUUAGUCUAUUUUUAUUCGAGACCAGACAAAUAAUACUUAGAUAUGCAUUUUGAUAGUAAUGGCUUGCAAAAGGGUCCGUGGGAGUCAAUGUGAUGUGUUUCUUUUCUGCAGCUUUUUAAAUAAAGAUGAAUAAUAACAAGAAAUGGCCCAUAUACGGUAGAAACCUAGGAUUUUCUACGGGGUUGGGGCGUUCACCUUAGGUCCCCGAGCGGCUUUUCCUCUAAAAUAAGUUCAUAAUAAUCGGAAUUCGGCCACCCAUCUCAUUAGAUUGAUGAACCGGACAUCAAGAAAUAGUGAUAUUCACACUAACCUCUUGAAAAUAAAAAUGUACAUUUUAAUGCGAUUUUUUUAAAUUUGCUUCAAUGGAUUACAUUUUAUUACUUAAUUGCAUGUUUGCUCUGCGUUUCGGAGCAGGUGGCUAUCGCAUCAGGACAGCGAAAUUUCAUCGACGCGGUGAGAAAGGUCCAGCUCGGGCUUGACCUUCCGAACGUGAGAACCGUCGACGCCUUGGGGCUGCCUCUCAAACCCGACCAGCUCCAUCUAACCACCCCAGCCGAGGUCCGGCUUGGCCAGAUUCUGGCCGACGCUUUCCUUCAGGCUGUGUUAUCGACAAAAGACAGCUCCUCUUCUGUGUAAUUUCUGUACUAGUUAACAUGACAAGGUAAUAGUCUUUGGAUGGACAAAGCCAGGAAAGAUCAAUUAGUAUGCACCUUUUUUAUAUCUGCUUUUUACUUGCAAAUUUGGAAUGGUCAUUUAGUAUGUGUUGCUUGGAAAAAUCAUUCAGCAACGAGCAGUAUUACUCUCUUGUUCAAAUACACGUUUGGUGCGAAUAUAAAUAUACCGGUUGUUAUAAUACGUCGCAAGUUUGAGCCCACGAACGAAGUCCAAUCCGAGAUAAGUUACUAUUUGAGGACGUUGAAACAUGUGCCUUAGAAAUCCAUAUUAUUCGUCCAGUGUUAGAGUCCGAGUUGGAUUAUUUAUGUGGAUAUCGAAAAUAUCGAGGAAAGGAAGAUAGUGCAUCUUGCUAUUAGGAUUUGGACGCAACCAAAAGAAAAAUAAAGAAAAUAAAAGAAAGAAAAGAAUGGCUGGACUUUGCUUCUUAAUCUUAGCCGGCAAAGUCAAAGAAAGAUACGGAUUUAUUCCGUGCAGAAUUAGAUUGGGUUCUUAGGGCAAGAUAUAUAUAUAUAACUAAGAUGUGCUCGUGGCUGUGGGUUUUCUAAGGUGGUAACUAAAGAUGUGCUCGUGGCUGUGGGUUUUCUAAGGUGGUCACAAAGAAAUACUGAAGCACCGUUUCCAAGUAAAUGCCUGACAUUAGGGAUGAUCGGUUCCCGACCUGAUCCAAUUCCAUUUAGGAACUAGGAACCAAACCAAGAGGACCGGUUCCUAUUUUUUGGGAUCGAGAACUGGACCAAACGGUCCUAGGACUGGGAACCAAACUGAGCCGACCAGUCUGGUCCGGUUCAGUCCAAUGGAACCAACCACUAGGCAAAAAAAAAAAAAAUUAGUAACUUUUAAAAAUACUAAAGUUAUUCAAAUUUUAUGGUUUAUUGUUAUUUUAAGAAAUUAAUAUAUAUAUAUAUUUUAAAAAGAGUUAGUUCAGUCUAUCGAUCAGGUCCGGUCCGAUUCUCCCUUGGAUUCAGAAACUGACCCGCAAAUCAGCGAUUUCAAUUUUAUGGAACUAGGAAUUAAACUGACGGAACCUUACCAAAUUGGCUAGUCUAGUCCAGUCCUAACGGUUUCUGGUCCGAGCAGUCCGAUAUGCUCACCCCUACUUGACAAUUGACAUGCAUUAUUUCGUAGGCAUUGCCUGUGAAUUACAUUCAAGAAGAUUUAGUAUUCAAGCAGAUUAAAUUUUGUGAGUUCAAGAUUUGUUAAUUCUUUCAUAAUAUUGAAAGAUUAUUUCGCAAGGAAUUGUGAAGUAAAGCACUACAUGGGUUAUUGGGUCUAAUUGGGGUUUGAGAAAUACUGAGAAUAUUUGAGUGAUUCGAGUGUGAUUGUAAUCAUUGUUAUGUCGCUUGAUCUAAAGUGAAAUUCAUCGCUACUCUCCCCAUGGACGGAGGUCACUAUGGCCGAACCAUGUAAAUUUAGUAUGCGAUUUAUUUUCUUGUUAUGUUUAUUUUAUUAUUUAAUCAUUUGCUUUUUGCAACAGCGGUCCUUGUGCAUUCACUAGCUAAAGACAGUACUAAGAACAGAGAUUUGUGUGGAGUCAAUACUUAUGGUCAUGGCAGGUGAAUUACACCGGCAGACAGUAUGAUUACACAAGCAACUUGUGCAGAGAAGUGUCAAGCUAGAACUAGAAGUGCAUAUGACGCACGUUAUAGUCGACUUCUCUUAGAAGUAUCCAAUAUAGUCGUGCUCCACGGUUUAUUAUCCAAUGGCAAGAUGCUCGUGCGUUCGCAAGAAAAAUAAUAUGCAUAAAAAUAUAACAAAAUACACGUUCACAUCAAUCAAAUUCUUCAUCAGAGUUUAUGCGGAAUGUCAUUUAAAGUAGAUCUGAAUUCCAUCAUUUAGAUUUAUACUCCAAUUAAAAGAAAACAUGAGACAUAAAAUUGCAACACUUAUCGAAUUAUAAAAUAAGUAAAGGAAUGUUUGGAGCACAUAAUACAAUAUAAACAACUAAGAAACAUAUAAAGCAGAAAACAUGGUUUUCCUCCGAUUAUUGGAUUAUGUGCUUUGUGUCAUUGACUUGGUUUGGGCAACGAGAUUCCGACACCGAGGUGUUGGCUAGGUCUCAAUGGACUUGCCCUGGCAUUGCAGACCCGAUCCUAGGCGGCGAGGUCCUGGGUCUGACCUUGAUAGACCUAGGUGCGGGCUUCAAGGAUUGGGGCCCAACCUCGAUGGACUUGAGCACAAAAGUCAGGUCAAGCUCCCAAUCUCAACCUCAAUGGACUCAGGCGCAAGCAUCAAACACUUGGCCUAGGCCUCGAUGGACCGAGGACCGAGCGUCAAGGAUCAAAGUUAGGCCUCGAUGGACUUGGGCAUGGGCAGGCACAAAGAUCCCUGGCCCAACCUAGAUGGACCUAGAUCCAAACACAAGGGACCGGGGUACCAGAGAUCGUUGAUGAACCUGGAUGUGGGCACCAGUAUUGGAAUUUGAGGCCCAGCCUCAAUUGAACCAAGCUUGAUAGUCAGGGUCAAGGCUCAGUCUCGAUAAGCCCAAGCUUGGGCAUCAAGGACUUAGGACGAGCCUCUGUAGACCUGGGCCGAGGCCCUAGAGAACCAAGCACAGGGAUUGGGUUCUUGGGCUGAGUUUCGGCAAACCUAAAGACCAAUGCCUGUGCUCAUGCCCAGGAGUUAGGGAUUCGAGCUUGAGACCCAUGCCCAUGUUGGGUUCCUUAACUACCCAUGCAAAAAUCACUAGCAUUCGAAAUAGUUUAUAUCUAUUUAGGAAAAAGAUAUUUCUUACCAAAUAACAGAAAAUAUUUUCUAGUUCAUUUUUUGAUCUCAGUCAAAUAUCAGAAAAUUAUGUUAUCUUCUUGAAAAAUGAUUUCUAGAAAAAAAUUUCCCAAAAUUUCACGUUUCAACGGAACAAAUAAAGCCAAAGUGAGGAAAAAAAAAACCACGAACAGACCAACCUUUAAUUUACUUGGUAAAAUUCUCACAAAAUGACCAGGUUACCCCUAAAUUGUAAUUUAUAGAAGUGUGCCACGACUCAAUUCGAUGAACUAGACGCGACCAAUCAUAUGAAUGACUUUAAUUAUCCAAUGCAAAAAAAAAAAAAAAAAAAUGCAAUGGUUUCAUGAAACCAAUAUUUUUGAUAGGGACUAUAAAUCCCAAUUGUCUGUGCUUUUCCUUUCUUCUUGUUCUAUUUAAAAAAAAAAAAUUUGAAUAAAAUUUGAGAUAAGUGCAUUGAAAGUUCUAAAACCCGUCGCGAAAUUACAAUUGAAUACUAAAACUUUCAAAAAGUAUAUUUAAGUUUUAAAUUUAUCAAGAAAAUGCAAUCAAAUCAGAAAACUUGUCACAAAAAUACAAUCGAAUUCUAAUUUAUUUUUUUUAAAUGCAAUCAAUAGAAGGAUUUAAUGGGACCAACUUGACAAGUUUGAAGACUCAAUUGCACUUUUAGAAAGUUUUAAGACUCGGUUGCAUAUUUGUGACAAUUUUUUGGACUUAAAUGCAUUUUUGUAACAAGUUUUAGAAUUUUCAAUGUACUUAUCCCAGAAAAUUUAGGUGUCAACCGCCAAGAUAUCAGACACAUUUGUGGCUUAUCACCCGCAAGAGGUUGCCGACCCAGGUUCUGCUUGCUUCGGUUGGUAGGCUCUCUUCAGUUACUUGUCCCUUCUAUUCAUGCAGGCCGGAUUCAGUAGAUCAUUUAUUUUUUGCUUGUCAUGUCCCUGGCAAUCUCGCCGCCUAUUGGGCAGCUAAAUUUAAUAUAUCUUGGCGCAACAAAUCGUGGCUUGAGAACUUGGACUAGGCGGCUAGACACUUCUCGGACAAAAACUUCUAUGAUGUGUUGGCCUGGUUUAGUUAUGGAGCUCUUUGUUAUAUUAUUUGGAAGAAGCGUAACAAUAUCAUCUUCCGCAAUCAGACUCUGUUCAUCCCGGCGAUGAAGAUGCAUCUCCAGAAGGCCGUUAAGGAUAAAUCGUCGACCCUGAAGAAUGUUGUGGAUAAUCCUAAGAACAUAAGGCUGCAACGAAGCUGGGGCUUGAGUCCGUCAAUCUUUCACUGAUGGGGGGUUUUUAGUUUUGGCUUGGUCUUUUGUUUCUUAGGUCUGUUUGUCUUUUGGUCCUUGGCACCCUUACACUCUCCCGCGAAUUUGGUCCUUUUGAGUGUUCGUUUUGGUGGUGCCAGGCUUUUCUUGUAUUUUGUGCAAUUUCUUAUCAAUACAAAUCUUACCUUUACCCAAAAAAAAAAAAAAUUAGGUGUCAACGGUCCUAAAACUUGAAAUGGUAACACUUGGCCUCACCAAUACAUUCUUGAUAUGAAAUAAAUCUUCGACUGUUGACACCUAAAUUUUGGCAAUCUAGUUAUUUAUUUAUUGCAUAGAAAAUUAGGGAUUAAUUUUAUACCUAAAAAAAUAUUAAUUGCAUAGCAUAUAGAUGUAGGUGCACUUAUUUUUAAUUUACAUGUUUUGCAUUUAUUUUUUGGACCAGUACGGGUGGAUUUGAAUUAGUGGUUCUAAUCUUUAAAUUGACAGGCCGGACUAAGCCCAUGAAACGAGCAAAUUGGCCCAAGCUUUUUUUUAGUAAUCGGAAAUUAUCUCGUGAGAAAAUAAGAAUUUGAAAUUUUCCGGGAUAUGAUGAAUUUUUUGGAUAGGGCAGAUGUAAAAAGUGAAUAUUGCAUUUGGAAAAAAAGAAUCUUCGUGGAUAUCAAUUUGGAAAAAUUAAAACCCUAAUCUGAGGCUUAUAAAUAGAUUAGUUGUAUAGGGUUUUCGGGGGGGCCACACAGUAGAAAGAUACGGCCACAUUGGGGGGUUUUCUCUCGAUUGUCAGAAGAAAGAAAAAAUCGAGCACAGGGAAAGAUAGAGGUCCUUCGGUUUUUAAGGUUUAUGGGAGGAGAAGGUCUUGACUUUUUCCUUUUGCAAAUUUAGUGCUGCAGAAAGUACGAAGGGAGUAGAGAGAGACCGGGAGUGGGACGUGAGAUACGCAAGAAGAGAGAGAGGGAAAAUUGACCAAAAAAAAAAAAAAGAGAAAAGAAGAAGAACGAUGUUCAUCUUCUCCGACGUGCUAACUGCCAUUUGCCUGAGCUUCAACCGUUGCUCGCCAGACGCCGUCGUCUUGCCACACAGGAGCCACCCAACUCUUGCUCUGUCCUGUCUUGCCAGAAACCACGACCCACCGCCCCAGCAAUGAUGCCCCGGCUCCGCCUCUACCCUGUUGCCGUCGGAGCACCGUUUGCUCAUGCCUAGAGCCUGACCCAAGCCGGAUCGCAGCCCCUCCGCUCCUGACGACACCAGUGCUAAUCUUGCUUUGUUCGCGUCUACUGCCCUCCACUCAGCUCUGCUCCGUGCCUCUGUUUAGGCUCGAAGCCGGUCGCUGCACCUCCUCACUCAAGCGACCACCCAAGUCGCUUCCAUCGCGCCAGAUUUGGGCGCCAAGCGGUAUGUCCGUCUAACAUCUCAGCCUUGCCACCGUCGCAGCUCCACCCGACAACCCGCAACCCUCUAUUUCGACUCGACUCCAGCAGAACCGCAUGACCUAACUCUAGCCCAAAGCUCCGCUAGCUACCGUCGCGCUCACUGUCUGCAACCAGCGGGCCAUCCCGUCCUUGAAGCCCAGCAGUGACACCGCCUCCGUUUGAUCUCAUCAUGCCUCACCUGCCCGCUGCGACACCAGCAACUUGCGAAGCUACCACUGUGUCACCGUCGUGACCCACUUGCUUGCAAGUCCAAUCUAUUGUCUCUGGUCCGACAUCAUCAUCCCUCUAUAGCAGAGCUUGAGCCUUCCGUUCAUUACUACUUCUCGCCGGUGCCUUCCCCCUGCCGGAGCUCCGACUGGUGUUGCCCCCUUGGUUGAUUGGGCUGCUAAGCCAUAUUUGGAAGGAAAAAGCGGAAAAAAAGAGAAAGAUUAAUUUAGGUAGUUUUAUUUUAUUUAUUUUUUUAUUUAUUUUUUUAGUAUAAUUGUUCCUUAAUGUAAGAUUGAAGCUCCCAACAUGAAAUUGCCUUAAAGAUUUGGGAUUAACAGUCCGAUUUUCGCACUCGAAAUCCGACUAGCAAUCGCAAUCGCUUGAAACAUCGUCAAUCCGAUCUCCUGCUCAAGAUUCAAUUCGCGAUUUAUUUAAAAAUUGGCCAACCCAAUCUCAUGCGCGAGAUAUGGUUUGUCAAUUUGUGGAUAUCGAUCCUAUCUUAUUUGAUUUGCUGUCAUGUUGGUUGAAUCAAUUUUAUUUUGUUAAAUAAAAAAUCCAAAAAAAUGCAUUUAGGAUGUUAGCUUUUGUUUAAUUUAAGUUGCAUAAUAAUUAUGUGUCGAUUUUAAAUUUUGAAACAAAAAAAAAAACAUAAAAAAUCAUCAUGCAUAUGUCAUAUAGAUUAUGGCAUCUUUUGUACGUCAUUGCAUAUUAGGAUAAAAUUGCAUGUUUCAUUUUAAGUUUAGAUUAAUUUUUUUAGAUAGAUUGCAUCUUAAGUUAGAUACUACUAAGUUAAGAUAAUAUCUUAGUUUAAAUUAGGGUUUAGCCUGACCUAAUCCUUAAUAUAAGUUAGAUAGAAUCUUAAUCUAGCUAGUUAAUUUUCACAUUUUUCUAAUUUCGAAUUUCAUGGAAAAUACCAAAAAUUGCCCUAGAAUAAAUCAAUUUCAUUCAUUAGGAGAGAUUGCAUUUUAUUUACGUCAUAUAGUUAGGUCAUGUUGCCAUGUCAUGUCAUUUCAUGUUAGAUUAGUAGCGUGCAUUGCAUAAAACAUGAUUCUCAUUAAUUAAGUGAAAACAAAAAGAAAUUACGUGUUAAUUAGAAAUCAUAUCAAGGGUUGAUGAUAUGAAUUCUGAUCUAACAACACAAAUGAUUUUGUUGCUACGAGGUAAGUUCCUACAAUUUAUUCAUUGCUUUCCUUGGAUGUUAAGUUAGUGGUUUGCGCUUCGGCAUAAUCACCUCACAUGUUAGGUGAUUAGAUUUAAAAUCAAUUUAAGCUGCCUGCAAAAGUGUUUUUGAAAAUAAAAGAAUGGUACUAAAAGGGCGUUAGAGAAAUCUAGCAUAAUCAAGUCCCCGAACUCAUAAAUCUCUGGUUCGUAGGAGUAAAGUAAAUCUCCCGUUACUUUACUUGGGUUUCUAAUCGACCCACCAAAAAUAGAUUAGUGGCGACUCCUAGAUAAAAUCUAUUUGCAUGUUAAGAAAUUUGAACUUAAGUCGCGAAUUGGUAUGGGCUUGGGAGAGCUUGAGUUAAGUCUACGCUUAACAAUCCAUUAGCCAAACCCUAGGUGGUUUUCACUCGAAAAUUAGGUCGUGACAGCUUGGUGACUCUGCUGGGGACUUGAGUUGAAACUCUUAGUGGACUUAGGUCAAUUUCUUUUUGAAAAAAUAUUUUUGUUUGGCAGCGAGGAUCCCAGAUACGUCCCUAACAUUUAAGGUGUUAAAUGUUCUUGCAAAUUGGAAGGUGUAAGGGGAGUAAUGAUUGCUAACCCUUGUCUUACAGGUUGGAGUUUGGGGUAAAUGUUUUGAAUUCAAUUAUUGAAGUGUUGUUUGAUAUAACUAUUGUGCAUGCCUUGCAUUUAGCAUUACACUAUUGCACACACAACUCGCCGCUAGACCUGGGCCGCAUAGGAUCAUUUAGGAUGGUGUUGAGAUGGAUACCACUCCGACUGCAUGCUUGCGGUACAAGUCGCUCAUCUCAAUCCCAAAGUUUCUUCUAUAGUGUCAAGAGUACCCACCUCGGUCCGUAUGCCUACGAUCUGGGUCGGCUCUUUGACCAAGCCGGAGUCAUAAGGACCCAACAUAGUCUACAAGCCCGUGGCUAGUCUAAUCAUCCUUGUGGCUCCACCUUGAUAAGCCUUAUAGACUAGAAAUCGAAUCACUUACCAUGCGCAUGUCUAUGUGAUUGCCGUCAAUUUAUCUUGGUGAAGUAAGUCCUCUAUCCCUAUACUCAAUUUACUUACUUUGUUAUACUCUUGGUCCAUCCAUGACAAUCAUUGAUUUAAUUCAUUUGUCAAUUAGAAAUGAAAUGAGGAAAUUGCGAUGCAAUGAAUCAUUUGGAAAAUAACAAAAAAUUUUGGAGAAUUUGUUUUCAAUUUAUAUCUAGGAAAUUUGGUCUUGUUAAGGUGCCUAUCUUUAUUUUCCUAGUCCAUUUUUAGGAAAUUCCCUUCUUGUACAAAAUUUUCAUGAAUAAAUGAAAAAAAAUGGAAAAAUCAAUUAGAUCAUUGUCAUGGAUUGACUUUCGAUUUACCCUCAUUCUUACAUGUUCCCGUUCAUUUGAACUAGGUGAUUAUGGAACGAUCCUUCUCACCCAUCCGUUCACAAUCAAGAGCCAAAAUGAUGGAUCAAGAAGAGUUUAUCUCGUCAAGUAAAAGUGCUGCGAUCUAUCUUUAGUGAGAAAUUGCAACUCCAAAAAGAGAGCUAGGAAGACUUUUUGAACCGUCUCAUUUUCCUGAGGUAGCCGAAUUUGAUGCCAUCAUGAAGAGACUAGUAACCUAUCAAGGGGGAAGAAUAUAUGGGUUUGCAUCACAAGAUCAAUGAGGGUGAAGAAUUCAAGUACACAUGAUUCAUGGUCCUAAGUAGUUCAAUUUCCUCAUUUAAUUAGGGGCAUGCACAUUCCCCUGAGUGGGAAUUUUUAUCUCUUUUUAGAGAUUGAUUUCAAUUUAUUCUAUGCUUGAACAUCACAUCCCAAUAAAUUCAAUAAAAUUACAUUGAGGACAUGAUAUGGUACACCAAACCAGCUUGGUGAUGAUAUCCAACAAUAAAAGGAAAAUAUAAUUCAUAGAGAAAAUCUGAGGACUGGGCUUCUUCAUGCUUCCUCAUAAAAAAUUCCAAAAAAAAUGGGAGAAUAAAAAAAAUCAAAAAUCAUUUUUUCAAGCCAUUUCCAAAAGCAUCCAUUAGGUUAACCCUAUUUAAUUUUCUGACUCAUAUACUUCAUUUUUCAAAGCAUUACUUUCUUGUCCCGAUCUGAAAAUGGCUUAUUAGAUGACAGAUUGGGGGCAUGGUAGACUUUGGUAGUGACCCGACUGGGAUAAAAUACUGAUCCGAGCCAAAAUGGAUAUGCAAUUUGAAUUUACUUUGAUGUUGCAUAGUAUCCUAUUCAUGCACGUUCUCUUGUGUAGGGGCAAAAGCGGAUUUUCACUUUUGAUUAGUAGAGCAAUCCAAGGACAUCCAUUGCUGAGACAAUCCCUUUGUGGAGCAAUCCCUUGAAUGAAUGCUUAAAACCAUGUUUUGAGUGCAAUAAAUUGUUUGUUUUUAAGUAACAAAAGCUUUUCAUGCUUAAAGUUGCUAGAUUAUUUUGAAAAGAGAAUUUCCAUAGUGAUUUUACUUAUUUAACUCACCAAUUUCAUGUGGAGAUUUGUCAAGAUGGACUAAUUCAAUGAAUGAUGUGGAAUGGAUUAAGCAUGCUAAAUGAGAUGUGUCGGGAUGAUGAAAGGCAAGCCUUAUCCUAUACACAAUCCCCUACUUAUACACUUGUGAGAUGAGUGUAGGAAGUUCCCUAUCUGCAAGGUAAAGAGUUCUCUCGCAAAAGGUACGAUGACCGAAAUGAUGAUGGGGCAAUUCAUUUUUCUAUCACAAACACAACAGACAAUCCAUUGCUUAACCCUUUUAAGCCUCCUACACUAAUGAAGAAAUUUUUUUUAUCCCUGUCAAGAACCACCCCACAUUGGGGCAAGUUGGAGGUAAGACAGCAUCAUAAGGUGAGGAAAAUGAAUUGAAAUUUCUUGCUCUCACUUGCAUCAAUCUUUAAGUUAUGCUAUUACAUUGAAUUCAUGUGGUAAUUUAAGUGCCUUAGGAUGAUGAAAAGCAUUUUUUUUCUCUAUCAUAUACACUUAUAUCCUUUGCAUAGCCCACUUGAGCCUACAAUUUUAUUUCUUCAAACCCAGUUGAUGAUCAUCCCUCACACGGGGCAAGGCAAAAGGCAGAUGAAGACUCUUGAAAAGUUCAAGUGUCAUUCAAAGUGUAAUUGCUUGAUGCUAAGGGGCAUGAAAAAGCAGUGUGCUUGGUAAAAGCAAGGACAAUGCCCAUGAAAAAGAAAGUGAAAAAAAAAAUGAAUAAGAACUAGGGGCAUGAAAAAAGAUGUGUGCCUGGUAAAAGCAAGGCCAAUGCCCAUAGAUGAAAAAAGAGAGUCAAGAUAGUAUGAUUGUCAAUUGCAAGAAUUGAAUCCCGAUGGAGCAAUACUCAAAGAACUCAAAAGUUGAGUUUUUACAAUCAACAGAGCAUUUUAUGAAGACAAUCCCCGAUGGUGAAAAGAAAACCGGUGACAAUUCCAAGAUGAUCAUCAACUCUUACCAUUUACAUACAUUUUGGGCCUAAUCAUCCUUUCGUUUCUUAACCCAUGAACCUAGCCUAUGUUACGUCCCUUAUAAAGUCUCUUCAAAUUAUGGCACUUAAAUUAACAUGGGGGUUCACAUGUUUUAAGCAUCGCUCGAAGAAGUGCGAGCAAUAUUAUUUCUUUAUCAUUUUGCAGGGUUCUUGACUUGUAAACCCAAGAUGAUUAUGGAAUUGUUCUUUCAAUAGCCUUGACUCAGAGUCCCCUUUGUUAGCCGUUGACCAAGCCCACAUUACGGCCCCUAUUAAAGACCUCUUGAAUUGGUAAGGUUGUACUGUUUGCGAGAAUACUCGAACCCUUGUCGAUAUGAUGAUGUUGAGAUUGUGUGAUUCUCACAAAAUAGCCAUUCUAAAUGAGAGUGAGUGAAAAUCUUUUCUAACUAAAAGUUUCUCAUUUAGCAUUUUUAAGAAAUUCAUGUCAUUGUCUUGAACGACAAUUAUCUUAUGUGGAAAUUUGGGUGAUGCAAAUAUGGUAAAAUCAUUAUGCAUAAACCUUAAUUGAAUGGAUGGAAGCCCCACUGAACUUUGAAAUGUGCAUUCUAGAGUAGCUCAGAUUGUCUAUCUCUUUGAUGAAUACAUAUCAGUUUUUGCUCUAAAUCAUGUUUAACGGGUAAUUCAAGUUUCUUUCAAAAUGCCUCAUGAUAUUAGGAGAUGAGAGACCCCCACUAUGAGGCGAAAGACCUCCACAGGAUAUCUAAAUUCAAAAAGACAUAUCCCCAAGAAUCAAAGAUAUCACCUGCUAAGUAUAUCUCUAACCAUACUCUAACUACUUGUCAUUGUGCAGGUAUUCUCUCGCAAGUGCAUCGACACUUGACUUGGUCAAGCAGUCCAGUUCCUGACCUGACGUGCUUUCGUAGCCCAAAGUCAUUUUUAUUGACUCGGCGUGCUUCCAUAGCCCAAUGUCCCUUUAUUGACCCGGCGUGCUUCCGUAGCCCGGAGUUCCUGACCUAGCGUGCUUUUGUAGCCCAGAGUCAUUUUGAUCGACUCGGCGUGCUUCUGUAGCCCGAUGUCCCUUUAUUGACCCGGUGUGCUUCCAUAGCCCAGAGUCUUGACUUGGCAUGCUUUUGUAGUCCAGAGUCCCUUUUUAUCAAAUCGGCGUGCUUUUGUAGUCCAGAAUCCCUUUUUAUCAAACCGGCGUGCUUCCAUAGCCCGGUUUUCUUUUAUUAAUCCGGCAUGCUUUUAUAGCCCAAAGUCCUUUACACCGACACUUGAUUGAGUUGUUCCCAAAGAUUUUUCUCCAGAUUCAAUCUGAUUAAGGAGACCGAAGAAUGGUUCGGGUCCUAAUCAGAUGAUCUAUGUUGCAAUGCUGGGCGACCGAAGAAUGGUUCGGAUCUUAACCAAGCAAAAUCUCCGUUUAGGCAACCAUAGAAUGGUAUGGGUCCUAAACAAUAUUUAUUGCUCUAACAGGUGACCGUAGAAUGGUAUGGGUCCUAGAAAAAUAAUUUUCCCAUUCAGGCGACCGUAGAAUGGUACGGGUCCUUGACAACACCUAUUUCUUAUUCAGGCGACCGUAAAAUGGUACAAGUCAUGGAAAGUGAAUCCCUGUUUAGGCGACCGUAGAAUGGUACGAGUCCUAAACAACAUUUAUUACUCUAACAGGCGACCGUAGAAUGGUAUAGGUCCUAGAAAGCAAUUUCCCCAUUCCGGCGACCGUAGAAUGGUACGGGUCCUGAAAAAUCAAUUUUCUGUCUAAGCGGCCGUAGAAUAGUACAUUUCCUAGACACAACCAAACAUUGUCAUACUGGGCGACCGUAGAGUGGUACGGGUCCUGGGAAAGCAGUCUCUUCACAAAGUCUUGUUGCUAUUAUGGGCGAUCGUAGAAAGGUACGGGUCCUGGACAUGCAACACCAACUAUCUUGAAUCACUCAAUCCUCCUUGAAGGUAAGAUAUUCCAAAUAGGUUCCUUUGACAUCUCAGUUUGGAUCUGGAUGUCUCAAUUAUUUUCAUUGAACAUUUCACUCUGGAUGUGAGUGUUCUUCGAUCUUCCUUGUUAUACCUUAGUCUGGAUCUAGGUAUUUUGGGUUCAAAAUUUUGACAUCUCAGUCUAGAUUUAGAUGUCUUAAUUAUUUUCAUCUAAACAUUUCACUCUAGAUGUGAAUAUUUUUCGAUCUUUCUCGUUAUACCUUAGUCUGGAUCUAGGUAUUUCGAGCUUCAAAAAUCAUGACAUCUCAGUCUAGGCCCGAAUGUCUUGAUUAUUUUCAUUUAAACAUUUCACUUUGGAGGUGAAUAUUUUUCAACAUUUCUCGUUAUACUUUAGUCUAGAUCUAGGUAUUUCAAGUACAAAAAUCUUGACAUCUCAGUCUAGAUCUGGAUGUCGUAAUUCUUUUCGUUGAACAUUUCACUUUGGAUGUGAAUGUUCUUCUCAAUCUCGAUAUCUUAAUCUAUUACCUGUUACAUUCUUCAAGGAACCUGAGUGAGAGUUGGGUACUUGUAUAGUAAAAUGGGGAUUUAUCAUGUACCUCAAGAUGCUCUACCGCACUGAUUGGUAAGUAACUAUAGGUACGUUCUUUCCUUUUGCAUCAUGCAUUUGCAUUAGCAUUUCCAUGCAUCAUAUAAAUUGCAUUCAAAAAUGGAAUUCAUUUUCCAAGAAAAAAUCAUUCAUCGCAUGCGCAUGAUCAAAAUUUAGGUCUCAAUUUAUCUUUGAAAGCAACCUCUACGAGCUCACCUUCAAAGAGGGGUGGCUGUUGACACCUAAAUUUUGGCGAUCUGAUUAUUUAUUUAUUGCAUAGAAAAUUAGGGGUUAAUUUUAUCCCUGAAAAAAUAUUAAUUGCAUAGCAUAUAGACGUAGGUUCACUUAUUUUUAAUUUACAUGUUUUGCAUUUAUUUAUUGAACCAGUGACGAGUAGAUUUGAAUUAGUGGUUCUGAGCUUUAAAUUGACAGGCCGGACUAUGCCCAUGAAACGAGCAAAUUGGCCAAAGCUUUGUUUUAGUAAUCGGAAAUUAUCUUGUGAGAAAAUAAGAAUUUGAAAUUUUUCGAGAUAUGAUGAAUUUUUCAGAUAGGGCAGAAGUGAAAAGUGAAUAUCACAUUGGGAAAAAAAGAAUCUUCGUGGAUAUCAAUUUGGAAAAAUUAAAACCCUAAUAUGAGGUUUAUAAAUAGAUUAGUCGUAUAGGGUUUUCAGGGGAGCCACACAAUAGAAGGAUACUGCCACAUUAGGGGGUUUUCUCUCGAUUGUUAGAAGAAAGAAAAAAUUGAGCACAGGGAAAGAGAGAGGUCCUUCAGUUUUUAGGGUUUAUGGGUGGAGAAGGUCUUCACUUUUUCCUUUUGCAAAUAUAGUGCUACAGAAAGUAUGAAGGGAGCAGAGAGAGACCGGUGAGUGGGACGUGAGAUAGGCAGGAGGAGAGAGAGGGAAAAUUGAAAAAAAAAAAAAAAGAGAGAAAAGAAGAAGAACGAUGCUCAUCUUCUCCAGCGUGCUUGCUGCCAUCUGCCUAAGCUUUGACCGUUGCUCGCCGGACGCCGUCGUCUUGCCACACAGGAGCCACCCAACUCUUACUCUACCCUGUCUUGCCAGAAACAGUGACCCACCACACCAGCAUCAACGCCCUAGCCUUGCCUCUGCCCUGUUGCUGCCGGAGCAUCGUUCGCUCAUGCCUAGAGCCUGACCCAAGCCGAAUCGUAGCCCCUCCGCUCCGACGACGCCGCUGCUGUUCUUACUUUGUUCGCGUCUACAGCCCUCUGCUUAGCUUUGCUCCGUGCCUCUAUUCGGGCUCAAAGCUAGUCGCUGCACCUCCUCACUCGAGCAACCACUCGAGCCGCUUCCAUCGCGCCAGAUUUGGGCGCCGAGCGGUACGUCCGUCUGACAUCUCGCCCCUGCCACCAUUGCUGCUUAUGUUUAAUUUUUAGUUUAGAUUAAGUUUUUUAGAUAGAUUGCAUCGUAAGUUAGAUACUGCUAACUUACGAUAAUAUCUUAGUUUAAAUUAAGGUUUAGCCUGACCUAAUCCUUAGUAUAAGUUAGAUAGAAUCUUAAUCUAGCUAGUUAAUUUUCGCAUUUUUCUAAUUUCGAAUUUCAUGGAAAAUACCAAAAAUUGCCUUAGAAUAAAUCAAUUUCAUUCAUUAGGAGAGAUUGCAUUUUAUUUACAUCAUAUAGUUAGGUCAUGUUGCCAUUUCAUGUCAUUUCAUGUUAGAUUAGUAGCAUGAUUGCAUAAAGCAUGAUUCUCAUUAAUUAAGUGAAAAAAAAAUUGCGUGUUAAUUAGAAAUCAUAUCUAGGGUUGAUGAUGUGAAUUCUGAUCUAAUAACGCAGAUGCUUUCUUUGCUACGAGGUAACUUCCUACAAUUUAUUCAUUGCUUUCCUUGGAUGUUAAAUUGGUGGUUUGCGCACCCGCAUGAUCACCUCACAUGUUAGGGAAUUAGAUUUAAAAUCAAUUUAAGCUGCCUGCAAAAGCAUUUUUGAAAAUAAAAGAAUGGUACCGAAAGGGCAUUAGAGAAAUCUAGCAUAACCAAGUCCCCGAACUCAUAAAUCUCUGGUUCGUAGGAGUAAAGUAAAUCUCCCAUUACUUUACUUGGGUUUCUAAUCGACCCACCAAAAAUAGAUUAGUGGCGACUCCUAGAUAAAAUCUAUUUGCAUAUUAAAAAAUUUGAACUUAAGUCGCGAAUUGGUAUGGGCUUGGGAGAGCCCGAAUUAAGUCUAGGCUUAACAAUCCAUCAGCCAAACCCUAGGUAGUUUUCACCCGAAAAUUAGGUUGCGACACCAACAUAGGCGAUACUCCAAGUACCUAUUGUCCAACCGUUACAGACUUUUUAAGAGUUGUGCUCUUGCUUUUCAACAGAACGACCACGUGGAAGACACUACACUGUAGGCCGAUCCUAUGCAUCCUUUUGAAGCACAAUAUUGAAAAUUUGGGCAAGAAAAAAGCUCCGAUCCUCACUUUUAGCUUGGGCCUUGGUCUUUCUUUUGAGCUUAAUCCACAAAUUUCCCUUCAUCAUGCUAACUAGUUAAAGUGAAAAUUCAAAAAACCAGUUCGCGGAAAGUUUUCUCACUUAAACAUAAUAGAUUUUCUUAUUUGUGGUGUGCAGGUGUUCACUAGGGUUGACCCUGGACCAGUCCAACCCUGCCGAUCCUGGUCCGGUUUCCAGGGAGACUAGGUCAAUCCUUGGUCCUAGAAUUCCUGGACCAGCACUGUACAGAUCAAUUCUCAGUCCUGAGAAUUCUAGGUCAGUCCAUCUUGGACUCACCCUGACUACGUGUGUGUGUGUGUGUGUGUGUGUGUGUGUGUGUGUGCGCACGCGUGUGUGUUUGUCAACAAUAUUAAACAGCUCUUUAGUGAGAAAUUCAAGUAAUUUUACAUUAUUCUUUAAUAACUUAGGUUUUUAAUAUCUUUUAUGGUGUCAAUAGUCAUAAUUUAUUAAUAAGAAAAAUAUUUUUGUGAGGAGUCUCACGGCGUCCAAAAAUGCACCUUAUGACAACCUCCUCUAGUAUUUGUUUUCUUCUGUCUUAUUUGUCCUCUUAGUCUUUAAUUUGCUAAAAUCGGAAAAAACAACUUCUCCACUCGUCACUCGACACUCGCCUCGCUCACUUUGAGUCACUUGUGUCGCUUGCCACUUGCUUGGCUUGUUGUUCCCUACUCAACAUUCGAUACUCAUUUUGUUCGACGCUCACCCUACUUAAUCCUCAUCGCUUGUCUUUCUUAGCUGACCUUGCUCAUCAUCAAACCCAUUGGAUUGGUAUAGUCCUUGGUUGCCCUUUCAAGGGGUACAAAAAAUGAAAUAAAAAAUUAUUGGUUAGUCAUGGGUUGACCUUGAAACUGGACUAAACUCAUUGAGUCAGUUUGAUCCUCAAUCACUUUUUUAAGGAGUACAAAAAAUGAAAUAAAAAAUUAUUAGUUGGUCCCAAGUUAAUCCUGGAAUCGAACCAAACCCAUUAAGUCGAUCUAGUCCUUGGUCCCAAGCUUAGUAGGGUCGGUCCUCAAUCCCAAAAAUUAAGGACCAGUACUGUGUGGGUUGGUCCUAAGGUUAAGGGAUGGAUUGGCUAAACUCGGACCAUGCUCACCCCUAGUGUUUACGGCUUAGAAGCUUCAGCCUAAUGAAAGUGGGUUUGCAGAUUUUGCGCAUUAUUUCUGAAAAAAAAAUGGUAGAAUGAAAUAUGAAUCAAGAUAAAUGUCAUGUGGUGCCCUUAUCAAAUAUGGCUCUAGUGCCGAGGGAUGUCAAUUGCAAUUUCGGGGAGGACAAAUUGUCCACCAUCGAAUAGAGAUGUCCAACUAGUAGCCAAUGAACAUUGUCAGAAAGCAAAAAUUUUAGCACUUUGAAAAAGACAACCAAUGGGUAGAUAGUAUGUAUCACGAGGCCACCAGUUUUCUCAAUGAUGUGAUAUAAGGUUAAGGGAUGGAUUGGCUAAACUCGGACCAUGCUCACCCCUAGUGUUUACGGCUUAGAAGCUUCAACCUAAUGAAAGUGGGUUUGCAGAUUUUGCACAUUAUUUCUGAAAAAACAAAUGGUAGAAUGAAACAUGAAUCAAGAUAAAUGUCAUGUGGUGCCCUUAUCGAAUAUGGCUCUAGUGCCGGGGGAUGUCAAUUGCAAUUUCAGGGAGGACAAAUUGUCCACCAUCGAAUAGAGACGUCCAACUAGUAGCCAAUGAACAUUGUCGGAAAGCAGAAAUUUUAGCACUUUGAAAAAGACAACCAAUGGGUAGAUAGUAUGUAUCACGAGGCCACCAGUUUUCUCAAUGAUGUGAUAUCUCUAUGACUAAUCAAACAAUCCAAAUUGGAUUAGUCGAAUACGAAUAAAGUAACAAAAGGAGAUUCAUUUCAUGGGUCAGUGAUGUGAAAUUAAUGGAAUCACAAAUUUUGAUGUAAACCACAUGAAAUGAUUUACUAAAUUUGUAAAUUAGAUAAGACGUGAAACAAAAUGAUUAUGAUAGCUCAAAUAUGGAAGACUGGUUGCACACUUUGUGAUGGCACAAAGAAAUCAAAAUUAAUUUGUGCACUUUAUUCACCCGCUAGCACACAUGCAUAUAUCAAACCUAGUUACUAAUCUACUCCCAUGGGUUAAGUAAGAGCACCUCAUCUCUAAUUCCACAACAUUUCCGAAGUUGGCUACGACAACGCUGCUCCAAUUUUCAUUGGAUAAUGACAAUGAAAAUUCUUACACUCAUGUCAAUCCGUCACAUUUAGUUUUAAAAUUCUUUUUUUCGAUUAUUUAAAUGUUAAAAUCUAUUGUCAUCCUUCAAGUUAGUCAUUUCAUUAACUUCCCAACUUUUAGUUGAUGAAAAAGUCUAGGCUGGCAUUUUCUAUUAUUUAUUUCCUCCACAAGGGCGACAUUUUGUGUUCAUCCUUUUAUGUUUAUAAAAUUAUCUAUUAAAGAAAAAUGAACUUGGUUUUUUUUUUAUUUUUAGCUUGUAAGAUUAAAAGGAAAGGGGGCGACAAUGUGUUGUGCCCUCUAUAACCGACCUCCCUUGUUGGGGUCGAGGUAAGGGUGGUUGGCCCUCACUUAGCCAUAAGUGCAGGCUUACGAUUCUCGCCAACACUAGGCAAGGGCUCCUGCAAUCAUGAAGCAAGGGCCCUUGCCUCACAGGCAAUAGUGGCAACCCUUGCUGGCAACAAAGAUGCAGUGGCAUCGCCCUCCUUCCUGCCCCUUCACCACCAAUCUCUUUCCAUUUUUUUCCCUUUUCAUAACUUUAGUGCUUUUUUUUUCUUUUACCUUUUUUCUAAUGCGUCACAUUAGCCCCGCUUGCACAAAAAAAGAAAAAUUAAUAAAAAAAUCCACAUGGAUUUUCCGUCCAAGAAAAAACAACAGUGUUAACGAAAAGCCUAAUUUGAAGGACAAUGACGAGUUUUAAGCCUUAAACGACUCUGAAAAAAAAUUGAGAACUUAAGUGAUGUAUUGACACAAGUUCUAAAACUUCUGCCGUCACCAUCCCACUAAUUUUAUAGGAUUCAUGGGAAAGAUAUAUAGAGAAACAUAUGAGGUGAGAAAAUUUUAUGCAAAAGACUUAGUUUAUGGAAAAGUGAUGGACAGAACUAGCCAAUUAUAAUAUAAAAGUUACAUUGAAACUUGUGGUUUUUUAAAGAGAACCUGUAAAUCUAGACUAUGUUUACAAAUGGGACCGACGUGAUCUAACAAAAUUAGUACUUUGUUCCACCAGGUAGAUCGCUUAUUAAAGCUGAAUGGUGGGUAAUGCAUUUAAUGGCCUCUAAAAUAAAGAUUGGUUGGCAAACUUAAAGCAGGUCAAUGCCGAUGGGCGUCCACGUCUUUGAGGGGACUCUUGGGUCGGAUCCAUGGUAUCCUCCGCUUGAGGUAACGACUAACGAUAGUCCAACAGUGGCUUGCCUGUCGCUGUCGCCUUACAAUUGCUUGACUCGAAUCUCCCUCGUCACCACAAAGGGCUUUAUCCUCCGCUCAUCCACAUAAAAUUUACGUUAGAAGUGCGGGACAGUUUUAUAGAGAAAUUAUUAAUUUUAAACAUUUUCGCAAAAUUCCAUUUCAUUCCUUCUCAUUAAAUUCUGCUAGAAAUCACAAGCAUGAAACUGCUCUUCGUGAUUCAUCACUGCGUCAGAUAUUUUCGGCGAAAAUUUAUAGAAAUGACUAUCAUGGAACUUCUACAAAAAAAUUUAGGAUUAAAUUUACAAAAUCGAAAAGUUUAGAAUUAAAUCGAUACUUCUACAAUACGUCUAGUAUUAAUUGGACAAUUCCGCCCAUGUUUUCAUUCUAGUACAGAUUUCUACUGAAAUUAUUCAUCCUUUCAAGAGGUGAAAUUACAAGAAAGGUACGUUCUUUUUUGUCUCGUAUCGAAGGACUUUCCCUAGAGACAAGUGCAUGUCCCCUCGAAAUCGCCGUCCAAACAGCUGGACUUUCCCUUCCUCCCACGCCAUCUCUCCACCGGCAAUCAGAAAGAAGAAUUUCUUAAGAUGUGGUUUCGCUACCCCCCAAACGGAAAAAUACGAGGUUGGCAAAUUUUUUGGAUCCAUAAACUCAUCUUAGAAUUUCGUGAUGCUUGUAAACCGGCAAUCGUAAGUUUGUUUCCUUCGAUCAUGAAUAGAGAAAGAUAUUAUGAUUUUAUAUCUACCUUUAGUGUAAAUGGGAUAUUCCCAAAAUUAUACUUUGUACCUAUUGAUAAUUCCAUAUUAAAGAUGUGCAACCAGACCAAUUUUAUACAAAAAUUGAAUCGGACCGCCAUCAAAAUGAGCUCAAUACCAAUCUAGUUCCCAAUUCCAAACUUUUGAAAUUAGUGAAAUCAGUUUGAUUCCCAAUUUUGAGUGAAGAACCGAUUGGGAAUCAAAUUGAACCAAAUUUGGAACUGGUUUCAUAGAGCCUAAAAUUGAAUUUUUCUCUUAUUAUAUUUUUUUAUAUUUCUCUCUUUUUUCUAUUUCCUCCAACCUCACCCAAACACUUCACGACUCUCUCUCUCUCUCUCUCUCUCUCUCUCUCUCUCGCCUACAACUCACACUCCUCCUCGCAACCCUCACUUGUUCCUAACUAGCAUUUGCUCACUCGCCCUCAUUCAUAUUAUAUUUUGAAUCAUUUUGUUAUUCAUAUUAUUUUGCUAUAAAAAAUGAAACUCAAUGAACCAAAAAAAAAAAAAAGGUUCUUGGUAGACCUUGGAAUCAGACUAAAAAAUAGGACGCGUUCCAGGGUCAUUUCUAGGACAAAUAGGGUAGGUUACAAGUUUCAAAAACUGAUAAUUAGUUCUACCAGAGCAUGUUCUAAAUUCCAAGUUCUAGGUUUAGAAUACAAUCACCCCUAAAAUUCGUUAUUGAUUGUACAUCAGAAUAUAAUAUAGUGUUAUAUAAUAAUUAUGGGCAAGAAAUGAGAGUUCGUUAAUAAAGUAAGUGCUAAAAUUACAACAUCAGAUGCCUUUUGGUUUCGGGGGAUGUCAAUUGCAAUUUCGGGGAGGACAAAUUGUCCGCCAUCGAAUAGAGACGUCCGACUAGUAGCCAAUGACCAUUGUCGAAAAGCAAAAAUUUUAGCACUUUGAAAAAGACAACCACUGAAUAGAUAGUAUGUAUCACAAGACCACCAAUUUUCUCAAUGAUGUGAUAUCUCUAUAACUAAUCAAACAAUCCAAAUUGGAUUAGUCAAAUACGAAUAAUGUAACAAAAGGAGAUUCAUUUCAUGGGUCAGUGAUGUGAAAUUAAUGGAAUCACAAACUUUGAUGUAAACCACAUGAAAUGAUUUACUAAAUUUGUAAAUUAGAUAAGACGUGAAACAAAAUGAUUAUAAUUAGCUCAAAUAUGGAAGAUUGGUUGCACAGUUUGUUAUGGCACAAUGAAAUCAAAAUUAAUUUGUGCACUUUAUUCACCCGCUAGCACAAACGCAUAAAUCAAACCUAGUUACUAAUCUACUCCCAUGGGUUAAGUGAGAGCACCUCAUCUCCAAUUCCACAACAUUUCCGAAGUUGGCUAUGACAACGCUGCUCCAAUUUUCAUUGGAUAAUGACAAUGAAAAUUCUUACACUCGUGUCAAUCCGUCACAUUUACUUUUCAAAUUCUCUUUCUCGAUUUUUUAAAUAUUAAAAUCCAUCGUCAUCCUUCAAGUUAGUCAUUUCAUUAACUUCCCAACUUUUAGUUGAUGGAAAAGUCUAGGCUGGCAUUUUUUAUUAUUUAUUUCCUCUACAAGGGCGACAUUUUGUGUUCAUCCAUUUAUGUUUUAUAAAAUAUUUAUUAAAGAAAAUUGAACUUAUUUUUUUUUUUUUUGAGCUUGUAAGAUUUAAAGGAAAGGGGGACGGCAAUGUGUUGUGCCAUCUAUAGCCAACCUCCCUUGUCGGGAUCGAGGUAAGGGUGGUUGGCCCUCACAUGGCCAUAAGCGCAGGGUACGAUUCUCGCCACCACUAGGCAAGGGCUGCUGCGACCAUGAAUCAAGGGCCCUUGCUUGUGAAUCAAGAUAAACAUCAAGUGGUGCCUUUAUCAAAUAUGGUUCAUAUUAUUGUAACUCAAUGAACCAAAAAAAUGAAACUCAAUGAAACCAAAAAAAUGAAACUCAAUGAAACCAAAAAAAAAAAGGGUUCUUGGUAGACCUUGGAAUCAGACUAAAAUAUAUGACACAUUCUAAGGUUAGUUCUAGGACAAAUAGGGUAGGUUACAAGUUUCAAAAACUGAUAAUUAGUUUUACCAUAGCACGUUCUAAAUUUCAUGUCGUAGGUUUAGAAUAGGAUCACCCCUAAAAUUCGUUAUUGAUUGUACAUCAGAAUAUAAUAUAGUGCAAUACAAUAAUUAUGGGCAAGAAAUGAGAGUUCGUUAAUAAAGUAAGUGCUAAAAUUACAACAUCAGAUGCCUAAAAGAUUUAUUUACGAUUGAGAUUAGAUAGAUGCUCUUGAGGGUGUCCUUCAGAGAAAUGCAUAAGGACGGUGAUUUGAACCUAGGAGCAUGUACGGAUCGCUUGGUGAUUUGUUUUAUAUGCCAGUUCACUUUAUAAGUAAAGCCAAUGACUUCUGGAAAAAAAUAUCUCAGUACAGGCCAAGCCUCAACCUGUUCCUUGAACACCAUGAGAAACUCGUCAUUUCUCCUUGCGCUUGUUCUCUCAAUCCUUCACAUGUCUUCUCAACCUUCCUCUGCGACUCGCACUACUUUGAGGAGAGGCGACUCUCUCUCCGUUGAUAACCCGGAUGACAUCCUCAUCUCAAAGUCUGGUGUCUUCUCCGCCGGUUUUUACCCCGUCGGCAAGAACGCUUACUGCUUUGCCAUCUGGUUCAGCCAUCCACCAUGCAGCGGCCAGAAUUGCACCGUAGUUUGGAUGGCAAACCGCAAUGAACCUGUCAACGGGAGGUACUCUAAGCUUUCUAUUAAAAAGAACGGUGAUCUCGUGCUAACCGAUGCCAGACACGCUGUUGUUUGGGCCAUAGAUACAGCCUCACUCUCGCGGUCGAAAACACCGGUUCAUCAGUUACAACUCCUAGACUCUGGUAAUCUUGUUCUUCGUGACAGAGAAGGUAAUGUCCCACUCUGGCAAAGCUUCAACUGCCCGACCGACGUGCUCCUCCCUGGACAGAACCUCACCAGGAACACACCACUUGUUUCCUCUCAGAGCAACGGCAACUUCUCUUCUCUGCUAUACAAGUAUACUUCGACAACGACAACGUCCUUCGUCUCUCUUCAAUGGACCUUUGUACUCAAGCGUAUACUGGCCAGACCCGACCCAUGUGAGUUGGGAAGUUGGAAGAACAACCUACAACGAUAGUAGAGUUGCAGUGCUCGAUUCCUUGGGGAAUUUCACUUCAUCCGACGAUCUGAAGUUCCUGACGUUGGAUUUUGGCAAGAAAACACAACGUAUGUUAAAGGUGGAUCAUGAUGGUAAUGUAAGGGUCUAUAGUAGAGAAAAAGAUGAAAAGUGGGUUGUAACAUGGCAAGGCUUAUCUGAGUCAUGUGCUGUUCAUGGGAUUUGUGGACGGAAUAGCGCUUGCAGGUACAGCCCGAGGGAGGGAAGGAGUUGCUCUUGCCUUCCUGGAUAUGUGUGGAAUAAUGACACUGAUUGGACUCAGGGAUGUGCGCCCAAAUUCGAGAGCUUCUGCAACCAGGGUUCUGAUGCUCAUGUCGAUUUCCUGCGUUUGCCUCACCAUGAUUUCUGGGGAUAUGAUGAGGACUAUACUUCAAACACUACCCUGGAGUCGUGCAAGAAAAUGUGCGCAGAUCUUUGCAAUUGUAAAGGCUUUCAAUACAAAUUCAACGGGGAAGGGAGCUUCGACUGUUUCCCCAAGAUACUACUGUUAAAUG